RNAcentral lists this long non-coding RNA (81511 nucleotides) under Citrus sinensis (sweet orange). RNAcentral describes it as "long non-coding RNA (CSIN_LNC001466)". The stretch from base 22329 to 22401 matches the Rfam family "tRNA". The record is from RNAcentral. Lineage: Eukaryota; Viridiplantae; Streptophyta; Magnoliopsida; Sapindales; Rutaceae.
CUUUGAUCUCCUAUCAAUGUUAUGUGGCUGUAAAAAGAAAAGUUUGCUUCUCCACAUUAGUCAACUUGUUUGUGCCUUGUACUGCUCCUUGCUGAUUAGUAUUCUUUUUCCCUGUAAAUUUUCCUACCCAGCAUCGUCUUUGCUUGAGCCAAACGGCGUCGUUUUACGCGAUUGAAACAAAAAAAAAAAAGAACAAACAACGUCGUUUUAACCAAGUUUUGGGGUUUGACCCGGGACAAACAUCAACGCCUAUUGAUAAAUACAGUUAGUGUUUUGAGUUUUUUUCAUAAUGACAUUUUCUUUUUCUUUUUCUUUUUUUGGAAAAAAAAAUGAGUCAUCAUUAGUAUUCGUUUUUCAAUUCUUUUUCUUGGUUUUAAAUAAUCUGUCAGUUCGGAAAAAAAUCACACAUCCGGAAGUAAUUGCAACAGAAACUUUAUUAAGUAGACUGCAGGAUUCAGGUGGUAGUUCCGUAUAAUGAAUUAAUAUUAAAUAUUAUGCGACAGAUGGGGGCCAAUUUGAUGGGGAGUCUAACUACUUUGACGUGGAUGCAGCCACAUUCAUACUGAUUCUAGCCACGUGGUAACCUUAUAAUACCAAGCAAGCGGUUGUCUAGGUUAUUUUGUCGUAGCUGAUCAUUGGUGGAAACCAGACAGACAUCAAUAUUAUCAGAGUCUUCUCUCGCUCAAGUAUUUGGUUUAGCUUUACUUACAUAAAUGGUAUUUAAUUUUCAAUUUCCAGGUGGUAAAGUGUAGGUGAUCGUAGACAAAUACAUAUUUUAAGAGUCGAAUAAAAAUAAAUUAAUAAACGGUGUUCGUUAUACAGGUUUUAAAAUAUAAGCAAUAAAAACACAUUAACAACAGGAAGUUUGAUAAAUUAAACAAAAAAUUCUUAUGCAAUUUCAAAUACUCAGCAAACUCCAAACUGCUAUGAAAUGUACCAAAAAAAAAAAAAAAAGGAAAAAAGUACAUGUAAAACUUUUGAAAUGAAAUUCUUAUUGGAAAUAGAUUACUUUUCUUCAAAUGCUGGUUUAAUUAGGAAAUAUCUUCUUCUUCUUUCUUUCUUUCUUUCCCUUUUUUUUCUUUUUUUUUUUGGAAAGAUGGGAAAUAUCAAAAUCAAACAAUCAACAAACCCUUCAAGGAUCUUCAUUUUUUUAAUGCAAAAAUGUUAUUAAAUUAUAUGGUUUAAUAGAGUCAGUAUAAACGUGUUAUUAAACCACAUAGUUUUAUGGUGAAUUAUACACUAAUUAUAUCAAACCAUAUAAUUUAAUAACGUGUUUAUAUAAAAAAAUGAGGACACUUGCACAUGAGAAAAUAUAUAUAUAUAUAUAUAUAUAGAGAGAGAGAGAGAGAGAGAGAGAGAGAGAGAGAGAGAGAGAGAGAGAGAGAGAGAGAGAGAGAGAGAGAGAGAGAGAGAGAGAGAGAGAGAGAGAGAGAGAGAGAGAGAGAGAGAGAGAGAGAGAGAGAGAGAGAGAGAGAGAGAGAGAGAGAGAGAGAGAGAGAGAGAGAGAGAGAGAGAGAGAGAGAGAGAGAGAGAGAGAGAGAGAGAGAGAGAGAGAGAGAGAGAGAGAGAGAGAGAGAGAGAGAGAGAGAGAGAGAGAGAGAGAGAGAGAGAGAGAGAGAGAGAGAGAGAGAGAGAGAGAGAGAGAGAGAGAGAGAGAGAGAGAGAGAGAGAGAGAGAGAGAGAGAAUUCUUUUAUAAUGAGGAUAUCGUCACUUUGUUGAAGUGAGGAUGUCACUAAAGUACCACAAAAAAAAAAAUUCAAAGUGAGGAUGGCCUAUUGAGGCAUUAUAAGUUAAAGUUUUUAUCUUUAUUUUAUCCAAAUAUACAAAUAACUUAUUUUUAGUGUUGGAGAAAACAACCAUUUAAAAAUACAAGAAUAACUUAAAUAAGUUAUUAUUUAUACAGUCAUUAAAAAUAAAUAAUUUUUUUAUUUUUAUUAAAAUCAAGUGAAAUUUAACUCAAUAGAUGACACGUCCGUUUGUCUAUUAAACGAAUUAAUGACAUUUCGUCAACCAACUUAAAAAUAACACGAUAUUUCAUUUUAUGAUUUUAUGACAAAAUAUAAAUGAUGAAUCAUCUAUUUUAAUACGAAUAUCGCAAACAAAAUGUUGUUGUUGUUGUUGUUGUUCUUUUUUUGAGUGAACGAUGCAUCGGGCAUAAAGAAAAUUAUAAACGACGAGUCGUGUAUAUGAUAUGCCACAUAUCUCUUACGCUUGUCCUUUAUGCAAAUAUAUUAGACGGCAUGUUGACUUUGGAUUUUUACAGAAAUGACAUAUCAAGUAUGAUCAAAACGAUAAAUGACAAAUCAUCUAUGACUUGAGUGCCGGUUAAAAUUUAAAGUACUUGAUGUAAUGUCGUUGCUAAAUAAAUGACUUGUUAGAAUUUUAUAAUGUUAGUUUUGGCCAAAAUGAAUUCUAAUUAUUAUAAGGUAUCCUUAUACCAAUAAUAGGUACAGAUAUUAAAUCGAGGUAUCCUUUCUAUAACAAUUCAGAAUAGCUAAACAAGAAGGUAUAUAUAACUUGUUCAAUGUGGUCAUGAAGCGUGUCGAGAUAAAAGGCUCCUGAUUUCUAAGUUCCAACACAUAUAUCCAAUCACUCGGGCAGUAGCCCGAGUGGCCAGGGCUGCUGCCCCCCAACUUGGAGGGCAGCAGUUCGAACCCCCACAAAAGCAUUGUGGGGGUAUUUCCUUCUUCAAUUAAUUUGAGUGAAGGUAGUCUUCUCCCUUACCCAUGAGUGAGGAGUAGACAUCCCUCGAAUAUUUGUGAGGGUUAAAAUCUGGGCAGAGCUCCAUUAGCAUUGAUGUCAGUUGGUCCCAGUAAUAGUCUGAUUUGUAAAUAUCAGUAAUAGUCUCAUGUAUAUGAGUUGUAAUCUGAGCAAUAGUCUCAUGUAAUAAAAAAAAAAACACAUAUAUCCAGAAUUUCUGGAGUUUGCAAUUACCAACUUGAAAGAAGGGAAGUUAGUUUACACAGAAGAUAUAGCUCAAGGCCUGCCUCGAAAAUGCUUCAUCUGCUCUAGCUCGAUUUUCCACGAUGGCAAUAAUGGUAAGCAAGUUAUUCCUCUAGCUACUGAAUAAGUAUACACGAUAAAAUAGGAUGAGAUGAGAUGCGAUGAGAUAUGAUUACAUUAUAAUUUAUAUUACCUUGUGUUUGGUGUAGUUCAAGACUACAUUAGAUUUUAACAAUAAUUUUAUUAUUAAAAAUAAUUAAUAAUAAAUAAAUAUUUAUUUAAUUAUAAUUUAAUUGAAUUAUUUAUGACUUGCAAAUGAAAGUUCGCUUAAUAUUAAAUAAAAAAGCUUCUUUAUUUUAAAAUAUUUUUACUGCUGUACGGCCAAGGCGGAUGUACGGUACAGCAGAUUUAUUUAUUUUUAUUUAUUUUUAUUUCUUUUUAAUAUAUUCUUUUAUUAAUCUACUAUUUUUUGUGUGUGUUAUUUUAUCUAUUUUGAAAUCAGCAGUUAAAAUAGUAUUACAAUUUAAUAUGAAAAAUGGAUUAUAAUAUUAAAAAUAUUAUUUAAAUAAAUAAGUUAUUUAUUUAUUUUUAACCUUUACAAAAUACAUAUUUUGUAUUAUUAUUAAUUAAAAAUAGAUUAAUUAUUGUUUAAAUUGAGGUGAAUGAAAUUAUUUAAGUAUAAAUUAAAAUUUCAUAAAACAUUAUUUUAUUUAUGAAAUGUAUGUGCUAAAAAUAAUCAUAUUAAAUAAUUUAUUUAUUUUAAUAAUUUAAUGAUGAAUUAUAUAAUUUUUUUGUUGUAUAACAAAACAAGUAUUCAUUUACUAACAUUAUAAGAGCUUUUCACUAUUUUGGGGAUUAAUGGGUCAGUUUUACAUAGGACCCACAACUUUUAUACUCACUCCAUAACCUUACUAAAUAUGGGAUAAGCUUUAGAUUAGACAAAAAUUAUCUAAUCCCAAGAGUUAUCCCACAUACCAAACAAACAUAAUGUUGCUAAAUUUAGGGUGUAUUUACUUAUAGGAGUAGAGAAUCAGAAUUUGAAAUAUAAAUGAUUGAUUGUGCUUACUUGUUAAAGUAGAAGGAAGAAUGCGAAUAAAAUAUGAGACUCCCACAUGUUUUUAGAAUUAAGAAAUGAGAACUUGAUUCUCAUGGGGUUGGGAAUUAAGUUCUCAUUCCUUGAACACCCCAUUAUACCUCCACUGAAUUUUCAUAAUUUUCAAAUUGUCCUCAAUUGAGUUUUGUCACCUUUACAUUUUAGUCCUUGUAGAAAUUUUAUAAUAUUACAAAUUUGUCCUUCAUUAUUUAUUUAUUUAUUAUUAUUAUUCAUAAAUAAAUAAAUAAAUCAUCAUCAUCAAUAUUAUUCAAAUUUAUUAAUUUUUAAUUAUUAUUAACAAUAAUUAUUUUGAAAAAUAAUAAUCAUAAGCACAAUUAUUAUUAAUAAAUGAGGACAAUAAUCGACUAAGUUUAUUUUAGUAACAUGUAAUAACCCAUUCUGAUUCUAAAAUAAAGUAAAUACAUUAAAAUUUACCACCACCACUACUACUACUACUAUUGUUAUUAUGAUGAUGAUGAUGAUCAUCAUUACCGUACUGCAGAUUAUUAUUAUUAUUAUUAUUAUUAACAAUAAUCAAUACUAAUAAUAGUUUUUGAAUAAUAAUAAUCACAAUAAUUAAAAUAUAAAAAAAUAAUUAUGACAAUAGUUAAUUAAGGAUUUCUUAGUAAUUUUUAACAAUUUAAUUCAUUUCGAUUUUGAUUUAAGACGAAGUAAACACAUUAAUGGGGCAUUUUGUAUAGAACCCACAAUUUUAAUACUCACUUCACAACCUUACAAAAAAUCAGAUAAGCUAGCUUGAGAUUAAACAAAAAUUAUGCAAUCCGAAGAGUUAUCCUAAAUACCAAACAAGACAUAAUGCUGCUAAAUUUAGGGUGUGUUUACUUGUAGGAUCAGGGAAUUAAAAUCUAUAAUGGAAAUGAUUGAUGAUAUUUACUUAUUAAAAUAAGAGGGAGACUGAAAAUGAAAAAUGAGGAGCCCAUAUGUUUUUGGGAUUAAGGAAUGAGAGUUUGAUUCCCAUAAGAGAGUUGGAAAUCAAGUUCUCAUUUCUUGAACUUUCCAUUUUACCCCCACUAAAUUUUCAUAGUUUUCAAAUUGCUCUGAAUUAAGUUUCAUCACUUUUUCAUUUUAGACCUUACAAAAGUCUUGUAAUAUUGCAAAUAGGUCCUUUAUAAUAAUAAUAAUAAUAAUAAUAAUGACAUCAAUAAAUAACAACAACAACAACAACAAUGAUGAUUAUUAUUGUUGUUGUUGUUGUUUUUGUCAUUAAUGUUAUUAUUAUUAUAAGUAAAAUUUAUUAUAAUUAUUAACAAUAAUUAUCUUGAGUAGUAAUAAUCAUAAUCACAUUUAUUAUAAAUAAGGACAAUGAUCAACUAAGGUCAUUUUAAUAACUUUAAUAAUCCAUUCCGAUUCCAAAACAAAGUAAACAUAUUAAAAUAAUUUAUUAUUAUUAUUAUAUUAUUAUUAUUAAAAGUACUAUAAUUAAUUAAUGUAUUAUUAUUAUUAUUAUUAAUUAUUGUUAAUAAUAAUAAUAAUAAUUUUUCAAUAAUAUUAAUCACAAUAGUUAAUUAUGGACUCCUUAUUAAUUUGGAACAAUCUAACUCAUUAUAAUUCUGAUUCCAAAAUAAAGUAAAUAUAUCAAGGACAAUACAACUCAUUCCGAUUUCGAUUCCUACAGCUCAAGUAAAUAUCUUAUUCUGAUUAUAAUUCCUCAUUUUGAUUUCAAUCCAUUUCGAUUUUUGUUUACUGAUUUUUGUUUAGUAAACGCACAAUUAAUAGCUUUGAAUUGCAGCCUCAGGAUGUUGGGCGCUUUUAGAAUCUUAGAAAUUAGUCCUCUUGUUAUCACUUAAUUGAAAUAUUUUAUGUUUAGGAUUCCAAAAAUUAAUAUUUACCUUAGGACUUCAAUAUAUAGUAAUCUACAUAUUAUGCCUUUUUUUGUUUUUCGGGGUGGGGGAGGCUGCUGUACCGUACAUCCGCCUUGGCCGUACAGCAGAUAAUUAUUAACAAUAAUUAUCUUGAGUAGUAAUAAUCAUAAUCACAUUUAUUAUAAAUAAGGACAAUGAUCAACUAAGGUCAUUUUAAUAACUUUAAUAAUCCAUUCCGAUUCCAAAACAAAGUAAACAUAUUAAAAUAAUUUAUUAUUAUUAUUAUAUUAUUAUUAUUAAAAGUACUAUAAUUAAUUAAUGUAUUAUUAUUAUUAUUAUUAAUUAUUGUUAAUAAUAAUAAUAAUAAUUUUUCAAUAAUAUUAAUCACAAUAGUUAAUUAUGGACUCCUUAUUAAUUUGGAACAAUCUAACUCAUUAUAAUUCUGAUUCCAAAAUAAAGUAAAUAUAUCAAGGACAAUACAACUCAUUCCGAUUUCGAUUCCUACAGCUCAAGUAAAUAUCUUAUUCUGAUUAUAAUUCCUCAUUUUGAUUUCAAUCCAUUUCGAUUUUUGUUUACUGAUUUUUGUUUAGUAAACGCACAAUUAAUAGCUUUGAAUUGCAGCCUCAGGAUGUUGGGCGCUUUUAGAAUCUUAGAAAUUAGUCCUCUUGUUAUCACUUAAUUGAAAUAUUUUAUGUAUCUAGACUAAAAAAAAUGAGGGAGUGCAGUUCAUAAACAAUCAUUAAAUAACCAAUAACUAACUCUUAAGGGAGGUAGAUGAAAAAGGUGGAACUCAAGGGUACAGAGCCAUUCCCACAAAGAAGUUAUUAGCAAAAUUUGCCUCUUUGUACACAUGAUGUACUAAAACAUGCCAUUAGCAGGUUUUUGAUGCCCCAAAUCAAAGUGAAAAUAGCAUUAUGGUGAGCAUUGGAAGCAACUAAGAUUUAUUUGAGUAAUCCGCAGGUUAUGCUUUAAUAGCUACAUAUACAAUUUGCUUGCUUUCGUCCAAUUAAUUAGACAACUUUUCGACAGAAAUAUAUUUUAUUAUGGGAGAAGCACCAAAGGCAUUCUCAUUAUCUUGAGCUACAAAAUCCUGAAUUGGGAUUUUUUUUUUCAUUUUUUUUAUGGAUAUCAUGACAUGAUAGUUGUUAAUUUUAUUAUAUAAAUUAAAUAAAAAUCUAAAAUGAUGAAUGCUUUAAUUGAAAUUUAAUCUAUUUAUAUUGUGGCCCCCCAAGUUCUUCAUUCUAGCUAGUGUUCAUAGAUAAACCAAAAUCUUCAUUCCUCAAUCCUGCAUGAACAUGUUCAAAUACUAUCUUCAAGAAAUUUUUAAUUUAAAAACAGAAAAAAGUAAACCAAUCGAAUUACACUUAUUAGGUAUUUUCAACCGUUAAGGAAUGAGCUUAAUUGUUGGUGUAAAUUCGCAAAUACCUACAUACGUGAAUGAGACAUGGACAUGGAGUUGGCAAUAUCCCCAAGCACGUACUUUUGAACUUUCCCGGUAGCUGUCUUGGGAAGCUCAUCUAUGAACACCACAGUCUUGGGCACCAUGUAACGCGGGAUUCGAGCUCUACAAUACUGUAUUAUGUCCUUCUCUGUUGUCAUCAUGCCCCCACUGUCAGUCCCAGUCUUCAAAGACACAAAAGCACACGGGAUUUCCUGCCAAAACGGGUCGGGUCGACCCACCACCGCUGCUUCGUUAACCAUUGGAUGUGAAUACAGUACCGACUCUAUUUCAGUACUGCUUAUGUUCUCUCCCCCGCUUAUGAUCACAUCCUUUGAUCGAUCUUUAAUCUCUAAGUAACCGUCAGGAUGCAUCAUACCAACAUCACCUGUAUAAUACCGCCCAUCUUUCAUGCAUUUAGACGUCGCUUCUGGGUCUUUUAGAUAGCCUAACAUUAAAGAUCCUCCUCGCAUCACGAUCUCGCCACGUGUCUGUCCAUCUCGUUUCACGCUCAGUCCUGUCUCGGGAUCAACGAUGUCCACUUCAGUCAAUCCGAUGGUCCUUACUCCUUGCCUUGCCUUCAGGCUUGCUCUUUCACGGGCGGGUAAUUUGUUCCAUUUGGGUUUCCAUGCACAUGAUACAUUGACACCAGCUAUUUCAGUUUUCCCGUAACCGUGACUCACUAUGAAACCCAGUGACUCAGUUCUCAACAGCACCGGUGCUGGCGGAGGAGAACCGGCGGUUAGGAUGCGGACAGGGCGGUCGAGCUGUUUAGCUUCUGGAGAACUUGACAGCAAAUUGAGCACGAUAGGGGCGCCGCACAUGUGUGUGACACCAUGUUUCCUAAUCAAUGCAAAGACGGUGGGCGCGUCAAAUUUACGGAGACAAACAUUUGUUGCGCCAACAACGGCUGCACCCCAAGUGAAGCUCCAUCCAUUGUUGUGAAACAUGGGUAGGGUCCACAAAAGAACCGACUGUUUAGGAACUACCCAAUCGAUCAGUGAGUCGACGGCUAUAAUGAAAAACGCCUUGUAACAUUGAACAACUCCUUUUGGAGCGGAAGUUGUACCCCAUGUGUAGUUCAAAACCAUGGGGUCCAAGUCACUUUUGGGCCGGACCCAACUGAACUGGGGAUCACCUUUUGCCAGCAUGUUUUCGUAUGUGUCAACAAAAUCGACGGGUGGGAUCCGGGGUGGUGGCGAGGAUGAUGAUGAGAUCUCCUUAUCAUCAGUGACGAGGACGAGUUUCGGGGUUUUGGAAUGGGGAGGAAACAAAGAGACAACUUCGAGAAGAAGAGAGCUUGAGAGAUGGUCAACAAAAACGAGCUUUGACUCGCUAUGUUUAAGGAUUAUUGAUAUAGUGCGGGCGUCAAGGCGUGUGUUGAUUGUGUUGAAAAUUGCGCCGGACAUAGGCACAGCAAAAUGGAGUUCAUACAUGGCCGGGAUGUUGGGGGCAAUCACGGAAACCACGUGGCCAGGAUUAAUACCAAAGGAGGAUAGUGAUGACGCCAACUGGAGGCACCGACGGUAGGUUUGUGACCAUGUGUAAGUGGUGUCGUUGUAAAUAAUAGAGGGACAAUCAUCACAGGCAGUAGCUGCUCUUUCAAUAAACCCUAAUGGAGUAAGGGGGCAAGAGUUGGCAGGGUUUGGUUUCAGUCGAUCCAUUGAGAGAAGAAAGCAAAAUGCAGGUGAAUUGAUUUAGUGAUUAUAUUUAGUAUUGGUAGUACUAGUGUAUAUAUGUUUAUGAUGUGUUUGUUUGAGAUUGAGGCAUGCUUCUUCUAUAUAUAGAAUUUUGAGCCUUACUUACAACGACCAGUGUUGCCAUUACAAAUUUGGGCGGUGAUCGAUUAGGAUACAUCAACGACCAAAGGUACAUAUAUUUUUGGAAUGGUUAUGUUUUUGCUCUGAUUAUUACUAUUAAUUAAAUACCAAACCAGGACUGAAUGCAGGUACUAUAUUCAUUUAUGCAUUUUAAAAUAAUUAUUAUGACACUAUAUUACGACUGGCACAUGUAGCUUGUUCCUAAAUAAUUUCAAACGUAAGGUGUUGAGUUUUGACUACCAACAUGCUUCUCAGAUAAUGAACUGAGCAUGCAUACCAUGUGAUCCAGGUGUGUGACUCUUCGAUAUAAUCAAGCAAUAAGAUAUAAGCCUACGGGGAAUUCUUGAUUUGAUAUAACCAGAUGGAGCUUUAAUUUAUCUCUUGGUAGCUGGCUGGUUGGCUAGCUCCACACAAUUAUAUUUCGAUUACUUUUCGAAUUAGAAAAUUAGAAUUUGGAAUUGGUAUCAUUUAUAGCGUUUACUUUAUAAAAUAAAGUCAAGAAUCGAAAUCGAAAUCAUGGUUUGUGGAGCCCAUCACAAUUUGAGAAUGAGGAAUGGUAGACUCAUUUCCAAGGGGAGGUGGGAAUGAGUCCCAUUUCCAAUAUUGACUAUUUUGUCCUCCUCCAAAAUUAAAAAUACCCAUAUUGUCUUAAUUUAUAAUUAAUUAAUAUAUUAUUCUGCUGUACGGCCAANNNNNNNNNNNNNNNNNNNNNNNNNNNNNNNNNNNNNNNNNNNNNNNNNNNNNNNNNNNNNNNNNNNNNNNNNNNNNNNNNNNNNNNNNNNNNNNNNNNNNNNNNNNNNNNNNNNNNNNNNNNNNNNNNNNCCGUACAUCCGCCUUGGCCGUACAGCAGUAUUAUUAUUAUUAUAAUUAAUUAUAAUAAUUAAUUAAUUAAAAUAUUUAUAAUUAAUUAAAAUAUUAAAAUAUUAUUGGCAAUAAUUAUUAAGAACAAUAAUUUUUGAAUAAAUAAUCACUAUAUGACAAUAAUUCAUUAAGCAUUUUUUUAGUAAUUUGUUACAAGUUAACUCAUUCCAACUCUAAGAUAAAAUAAAUACAUAAAUGAGAUUUCAACCCAUUCCGAUUCCGAUUCAUGUAUGUCAAAUAAACAACUUAUUAUAAUUCCCAUUUCUCAUUCCGAUUCCAGCUUAUUUCGAUUCCAGCUCAUUCCGAUUACUGUCAAAUAAACCCAGCAUUAAAUUCUACACAAGAUACAACUGAGAUGGCAAUUGGGUAACUAUUCGGUUGCAUAAUUUGCAUACAAAUAUAAAUUAUGUGAUUGUCAACGGCUUUCAACUGAAAAUUUUGAAAAUACAUUGAAGGAUUACCAUAUCGUCAAUAUAAUCAUUAAAUAAUAUUCCUACUAUUAGACAUUAAUAUCCAUCCAUGAUAUCAUGCAAACUCAUAUUCUUCAUUGUGCAUGGUUGCAACAUAGAAUAAAUAAUAGUCAAAUACACCAGUGUAUAAGAAGUCAAUAAAAGUUUGCCACACAUGAUGCAUAAACCAAAAAAAAGAAGAAAUUAAAUCGUUCACGUAAUGCAGGAUCUAUAGAUAUAUGAGUUCUACUCUAAUAAAGAAUCUCUUGUUUCAAUAUAGUAAAAAAUAAUUUAAAAGACAAAAGAAUAUAAAUUUUUAUCGUACAAAAUAUAUAUCUUUUUAGCGUAUUACUUUAUGGUCAGUGACAUCCUUUUCUUUCGAUCAUCUCCGCUAUCUUGUUUCUCAAUAAAAUGCUGCCGCCACCUCAUGCUGACUUCAUUAACAAUAUUUAUGUUUUUUUUUGUUGAAAUCACCGGCCCCAAGUUCUUGGAGCAAGUCUAUUUUCUAACCUAUUUUAAAACUACACAAACGGAAGCAGUGAAAUAUUUUGAAGAAAAUUUGGCAGUGUCUCUCCUUUUUAUUUUUCCCCACUUAUAAACCUUUAAAUAUAGCGCUUCAAUCAUAUUUUUAACUCUAAUAUACAUGUUAAUGAAACCUUCAAUCAUAUUUCCAAUCCUCAUUUUCUAUUUUGCAAGAACAAAAACUAUACAUAUAUAAAGAAAAAAAUUUGGCGAGUCUUCGUAACAGCAUAAUUUUUAUUUGGCUCCGGGCCUCCGGCUAAGUUGGAUCAUCUUCAAUUUUGGAGUCAACUAACUGCAGCCGUUGGAUCCCUACGCUGUUUUUCAACCGUUAAGAUUAUUAAUAUAAAUGUUAGGCGACCAGGUAAAAUGGUUGUUUUUCCACUUCCUCAUCUUCAUCCUCCUCCUCCCCACCUUUACUAUUCCUAUUUUGCCCCCAACUUUGUUGAUUCCCUAACAUACCCUUCACCACUUCCCUUCAUCGACAAGCUCACCAACAGAAACCCACUUCCCCAGUGCCGCUAAUGAACAAAACGUCGGAUUUGAUUACCAACUGAAUGAAUGUUAAUCAAUGAAACAAACGAGGGUGCCAGUGCUGUUGUUUAGUCAAGAAACAAGCCACCGAAUCCAAACGGGUUAUGAUCAUGAUCAGAGGGUAACUCUGAUUUGAUCAAGUGGGUAGCUAGGCUGAAGCUUAAAGAAUGAUCUUGACCAUACAUUGCAGCAGCUAGUAGUAGUUGGUGAUGCGUAUUGCUUUAACACAAGAAGAAGUGACAACAUUAGAUGUUGGGUGGGAUCAUAUAAAGGAGAGACAGAUGUGUGAAGCAGAAGAAACAAGAAAGAAUUUUAGAAUAUGAAAUAUGUUUUUUUUAUUUGAUUUUUCUUAAAUCAAUUAAGUGUGAGAAUGAGAGUGUUGUUGGUGUGAGUGUGACCACCGUGUUCACUAUGCCAAUAAGCGAGCCCUUAAACAUCAAUGCUUCUCUUCUUCAUCCUUCUCUAUUUAUCGAAAUGGAAUCAGUAACUUUUGUAGAGGUGCCCCGUUUCCAUUAGACGUCGAUUUUCUAAAUAUGUAAUCUUCACUCUUACUUUAAAAGUGACUGUCCAACGGCUAUAGUUAGCUGGCUCUAAGUUGGAGAUGACCUAUCUUAACUGCAGCCUUUUUUUUUUUUUUUUUUUUUUUUUUAGAAGUGUUUAUUCUACACUAAUUAAAUUACUGUAUUUCAUAUAUAUUUAUAAUUACUAUUAUAAUAGUAUUAUAUUAAUAUUUAUAAUUAAAUAUAUAUAAUUAAAAUUUAUAUUAUUAUAUUAAAUUUUAUAAAAUAUAUGUACAAACAAAAUAACCCGAAGGAAGGAAGGAUAUCCCUGUUGAUUUUAUGAGAAAAUUUAUCAUACCCAUUUUCCCAUGGUAACAAAGAAAUUGGGAAACACAAAAUUUUCUUUUUUUUUUUCAAUUUAUCUCUCAUUAUUCAUGGGACCCAUCACUACUUUUACAGCUUUUCUUACUUCACUGUCUGCGGUCCUGCAGUAAAAUUAAUAUCGUUUCCUCUCUCUUUCAUUUUAUCCACUUUAUGGAUAAACAAAACGGAUGAAACUAUAAGUAUGAAAAUAGGUUCCUUUCAUUUUCUCUCUCUUAGGUUUAGGUUCUUUUCCUUUGUCUAGACACCAAAACUAUCUCAAUGGCUGAUGUCGAGGAGGUUCAGAACGGAGCUGCACCGGCGAAGACGGCUGUUCCUGCUGCUUCCACGGCCAACUUCACGGGGAUGAAGCCGCAGUUGCUUGUGGAAGCACCGAAGGCUACUGACGUUGUUCUGUUCUACAAGACCGCGUUUGGUGCCUUGGAGAUUGGCUGUAGCAUGGAAACCAAACGCAAGGCUGAACAGGUGUUUAACUCGAGAUUGCCACUCCACUUUCCUUGUCUCUGACCUUUCGAUGAUUCUGCUGCUGUUAAGAAUGUGGGAACCGGAUGCACGCUCUGCUUGGAGACUGAGGACAUUGAGGCUGCCCUCGCCAAGGCUGUGAGUGCUGGAGCUGUUGCUAAGGGUGAGCUAGCUGAAGGCAACAGCGAGCGUUAUGGUGGGCGCGUGGGAAAGGUCAACGAUCCUUAUGGUUUCACAUGGCUCAUUUGCUCUCCGGUCAAGAAAUGCGCUGAGGUUGAAGCUUGAGAGCAGCCUGAUCUGAUCUUUAGAUAUUGAUCUACGAUCACAUGAAUCUCUUUUCUCGUUCUUCUUUAAUGCUUUGGGUUAGGCAAUGUAUAGCUGUAGGCUUGAUGAUAUCGCUGAAUGUUGAUCAUGAUGAAGAAACUAACUAGAGUAAAAGAAAAAAAAAUUGAAUGGGUAAUGAUGGGAUUAGUAGCAGUUGCUAUUUCCUCAAUUUUAUCCCCUUUUUUUUUUUUUUAGAAUUUUAAGGAAAUAUCAAUAAUUUAAAGAGAAUAAAAUAAUCAUUUUAGUUACUUAUGAAAUUAUAAAUAUUUAAAAUUAAUAAGGGUAAAAAUGCAUAAAAAAUAUAUUUGUGAUUUUCGCACCAAGAAUCUUAAUUUUUUCUUUUUAUCUAUAUCAGUACUGUUACCAGGAGUAAUAUCGUUUUUCCAAAAUCAACCACCAGUCAAUAGAAAAUUUAUCUAAUGGUGGGGGGAUUUUUAUAAAUAAAACGAUAUCGGCCAUUUACUUGAAACAGCCCAAACCUCAGGGAGGCUUUUAAAAAUUAUCCUAAUUAUUCUUAUAUACAAACAAUCAAACACAUUCUCAUUUUUUUUCAUUUUCAAAUAUUUUUUAAAGCCAAGUUACCAAAUAUAUUUCUAAACUUACCAAAAACUAAUCAUUCUUAUAUUAUAAAAUAGAUACAAAAACACCAUCUCUCAUCCUUUGGCUUGCUGCGAAGGAAAGAAUUAAAUGCAAAGCCGAGCUCUAUAGAAGACAUAUUGGGGUGGAUAUGAUAUGCAUGCGCUGUGGUUAUGCUGUAGAGGAUACGGCUCAUGCUCUUCAUGACUGUGCCACAUCUAGGAGAAUCUGGAAUAUGUUGUUAAAAGGUCGUGAGACGGCUUCUUUUUUCACGUUGCCAACCCGUGAUUGGAUUUUUGCCAAUAUUCAAGGUAUGGGUAAUCAUGGUAGCAAUCGAGAAUGGAGUUGCAUAUUCGGGGUAGCCAUCUGGUGUAUAUGGGUGGCAAGGAAUCAGUUGCUUUUUGAAGAUAAAGUUGUGAAUGUGGAAAGCAUGGUUCGGGAUAUCAGGGUACGAGCUGAGGAGAUAAUUCAUACUUCUGAGGCUUUUCAAAGUGAUAAAGGGCUGAGAGUUCAAAACAUGUUUGGUUGGUUGCCUCCUCGAUGGCCGUAUUAUAAAUUAAACUCUGAUGGUGCUAGGAAAGGAUUUGGUUUGGCGGGUGCAGGGGGGUUGAUUAGAGAUGCUACUGGUAGAUGGCAUGGUGGAUUCUGCAUGAAUAUUGGUAUUUGCUCGGUAACAAUUGCAGAACUUUGGGGUUUGUACCAGGGUCUGAUUUUGGCUUGGCAAAUGGGUAUAAGAUUGUUGGUGGUGGAGAUUGAUAGCCUUUGUGUUACUCAGCUGCUAAACAGGAAAAGCCUUAAUGCUACCUUGCCCCUUGUCAAUGAUAUUCUUGGUCUUCUUUCCCGUGAUUGGCAGGUGUCUGUCCACCAUGUUUAUCGCGAAGCUAAUUUCGCGGCAGAUUUCAUGGCUAGUCAUGCACUUACUCUCCCUCUUGGCCUUCAUUAUUUUACUACCCCUCCCCUGGGCGUCAAGACCUGGCUUCGGAAUGAUGGGUUAGGAACGGCGUUUCCUCGUGUUUUUAAACCUUAGCUUUCGCUGAGGUUCUUUAUUUUAGCAAAAAAAAAAAAAAGACCUCAAUGUUAACAUGUGCUGUGCAAUUCAAAAUCAAAAUUCUCAUGUCAAGAUUAGAUGAAUGAAAUAAAUUGUAACAAAUUAAAUAAAAUAGUCCAUAGAAUUAUUUUGUGCCACAGAUUUUUUAUCAAAUUGGUACUAACUUGUCUAGUUUCUGUAAUUUUCUGACGGGAGAAAAAAUUAAUAAAACGAAAUGGACAUAAACUCACCAAGUUACUGGAUAUUAACAGAUCGAUUUGCUAGGCACUCGGUAUUAACAAAGAUGACAAAAGAGUACGGGCUCGGCAAAGCUUGGCCAGGCAAAGCCUGGUAUUUGAGUGGGUGAGGCCGGCUUGACCAGCACAGGCUUUGCAAAGAGCCUAGCCCAGAAUAAGUUGCAAAAAGAAAAUUAAAUUUUUUUAGCACCCGUAAAAAUUUAGACAUACCCUUAGAUUAAAAAAGCUAAAAAUAUAUGAAUUAAAAAUGGAGAGGCUAUUUGAAUCGAUUAAUUUCCUUUCAAUAUCUACUUUUUUAAUUUAAAUAAUCAUGAAAUUGUAACUUAUUAUUUUAAUUCAUUAAUUCUCAAAAAUCACAAAAUUAUCCUUAUCAAUUACUCUCUCUUUCUAUUGUAAUAAUGGUAAAAAAACUAAAUUAGUUUCUCUCUCUUUUAUUUUUUCUUUUCUUAUUCUUUCUUGCUACAUCAACUAUUAUCAUUCUCUAAGCUUUCAAUAUAACUACUAUUUAGUCAAUAGUAAUCAGGGACGGCAAUGGAGUGGAGAGGCCUACCCCAUUGCCAGUCCAUUAAAAAUUUCAUCUCUACUCUUUAUCUCAUUUCUCAAUAAAUUUAGUAAAGUGUGGAUGAAUAAUCCCCAUAUGGGCAAUGGGGAUGAGGAAUCUCCAUGUCGAGAAUGAUUUCCCCAUCCACACAUCAUUCCCCAUUUAUUUAUUUUAUAGUAGGCAUGGAUACUUGAUUUUGGUAAAAGAACGUUAGAGACUUAAAUAAAAUCAUCACCAUAUUAAUAAAGUAAUUAAAUUAUUAAAAAAAUCUUCAAAAGUUUGAAACAAUAUCUUGAAAUAAUAUCAAAAUUAUAAAAUGUUUAAAGAGAGUGGCACCUUAAGAUAGAAAAAAAAAAGUAUGACGGUAUUUUAAGAUUGAAUAAGAAUUAUAUUGUAGGAUUUUCUUUUAGUUAUAACUUACUUGUAUUAGGAAAAGAAUAAAAAGAAAAUUUAUUAACCAAUUUUGUAAUUGAUUUAAAAAUAUUAAAUAAAAAUUAAAAAAUAUUUACAUAUAAUAGGGUUUGAGAUGAAGUUAAAUAGAGUACAAAACCAACCCACUCCAUCAAGAAUUUGAGAAUUACUUUUCUCCCGUCCUUAAAAAUUAUUUAAAAUUCAUGUCAUUUGAAGUGGGGCCUUAAGUCAUGGAGGAUUUAGCCAGCCUCGACCGUAAUUUAGCAACUGCCACGCUAAAAAACUAAACCACAUUCAAUGACCAUCCCAAGUUUUUGAACUUUAAAGCCAAGAAACAUGAAACCAGUCGCUUUUAUGUUCCAAUGAUCAUGCAAUUAGUUCGACGAUUGAAAAAAAUUAGUCAAAUCGAUGGAGAGUUAUCAAGACGAUGACGAUUAGAAAAGAAAAAACAAAUGCCUGGCAGAUAAUGAAAUUUUAUUCAUAAAAUUAUUAUUGAAAGAACAAUUCCGAGUCAAUUAACUCAAAAAAUUAAAUUUGAUUUAAAAAAAUAAAUAAAUUGGGCAUUACAAUUGAGUAUUUCGAAUUGUUCUAUGACAUUCAUUUAUUAGAAAAUGUCAUACAGCGCUUGGAUCAUAAAAGGUGGUAUAGCAGUUGGGAACUCUGGUAUUAUUUGUUACAAUUUUCAUUUAACUGAUGCAUAUUAAUUAAGAUUAACAAAUCAUAAAUAGCAAACUGUAUUUUCUAAUGAAAGGAUGGGGACUAAUUACUUCAACAUUAUAACAGCUAUACUAUAAUUUAAUGACAAUUUCAGUUUAAAAAAAAAACGAUCCAUAAAGAUGAAUUUAAUAGGCUUCAUCUACCACGAUUAUAAAAACGGGGGAUUGCCACUUUUCCCUCUACAGUAAUCAACAUAUACCAUUUUUCUCCUUACUGUUUUUAUAAUAGCCAAAAACCCUCCUGACAGCAUAAGUUUACAAUACUACCCUUAUUUUCAACUACUCUUUUAUUUACAUUUACUAUAAAUUAAAUAAAUUACAUGAAUAAAAACUAAAUAAAUUUUCUUAUAAUAAACAUAGUGAAAUAUAUGUUUUGAUAUGAGCAAAAAAAUUAAUAAUAAUUUUUUUGUAAUUAUUUAUUUUGUGAAUAUUUUCUUAUAAUAAACAUAGUGUAAUAUUUUAAAAUUAAAUAUAAAAAGUAUAGGCAAAAUAUUUUAUUAUUUAUCUUAUAAUAAAUUUUUAUUUGUCAUUCAAGUUUUCUUAUAAUAAUUUUUUUAUCAUUUUAUAAUAAUUUUCUUAAUUUUCUUAUAUAUUUAUUAUAAGAAAAUUUUCACAAAAUAAAUAAGUACAAGAAAAAAACUUUAUUAUUAAUUUUUUUGCUCAUAUCAAAACAUAUAUUUCUUUUUUUUAAUACUUAAUUUUUUAUUUAGUUUCUAUUCAUGUGAUUUAUUUAAUUUAUAAUAAAUAUAAAUAAAAAAGUAGUUAAAAAUAAGGGUAAUAUUGUAAACUUAUACUAUCAAGGGAGUUUUUGGUCAUUAUAAAAAUAAUAGAAAGAAAAUGAUAUAUGUUAAUUACUGUAGGGGGAAAAAUUGACAAUCUCCCUUAUAAAAACCAUUGAAGCAACAAAAUUUAGUUAAAACAUUGAACGAAAAUACCAAAUGGAGCAAUUAAAGCCAAAACCUGCGAACUCUUGCCCUCUCACGCCAUUAGGGUUUCCGUGCUCCUGCAUCACAGCGAAUCAAAGCUCUUGUUUGUUGAUUAUCAAUCUAGCCAACUUGCCCUUGCGGCUCUCUCUUUGUUUCCAUCAAACACCAUACUCCCAAAACCAGUCCUCAUUCAUGAUGAUGUAUCCGCAACAUCAUCACCAACCGUGGGUUUUAUAGACAGUCAUGAGAGCAUGGUAAAAAAGGUCAUCCAAACUUCAAGUGGGUCCAGCCGGAGAGCGAGUGGGACCCAAUGGCAUUGAACUACACGUCAGGCACGACAUCAUCUCCUAAAGGAGUGGUGCAUUGCCACAGAGGACUCUUCAUCAUCACCGUCAGUUCAUUGAUUGAUUGGAGCAUUCCAAAUCAAACGGUUUUCUUGUGGACACUGCCCAUGUUUCAUGCAAACGGAUGGAGCUACAGCUGGGGCAUGGCGGCCGUCGGUGGGACCAAUAUUUGCCUCCGUAAAGUCGACCUGCCAAUCAUCUAUAGCUUGAUCAAACAGCACGGAGUAACCCACAUUUGUGGUGCACCUGUAGUGCUCAACAUGCUAUCUAGCGUUCCCAGCACUAAACCUCUUGAUAGACCAGUCAAAAUCCUCACUUCCGGAGCUUCACCACCGGCAGCAGUGCUCUUAAGAACCGAGUCACUAGGUUUUGUAGUGAGUCAUAGUUAUGGGCUAACUGAAACAGCUGGUUUUGUAGUGUCAUGUGCAUGGAAGUCGCAAUGGAACACGUUGGCUGAUACAGAGAGAGCAAGAUUGAAAGCAAGGCAAGGAGUAAGAACAAUUGGCUUGGCCGACAUGGACGUCGUGCAUCCUGAGACAGGAAUGAGCGUAAAGCACGACGGACAAUCACAAGGGGAAAUUGUUUUUCGCGGUGGCUCUAUCAUGUUAGGUUAUCUUAAAGACCAAGAAGGCUCAUCGUUGUGCAUGAGAGACAACGACUGGUUUUAUACUGGUGAUAUUGGUGUGGUUCAUUCGGAUGGUUAUUUAGAGAUCAAAGAUCGAUCAAAGGAUGUGAUCAUAAGUGGGGGAGAGAAUCUAAGCAGUGCAGAAGUUGAAUCGGUGUUGUACAUGAACCCAGCUAUUAAUGAGGUGGCUCUCGUGGCUCAACGAGACAAAUUCUGGGGGAGAGGCCCUGUGCUUUUGUGAAUUUGAAGAGGGAGUUGAGUAAGAAGCCAACCGAAGAGGAGAUAAUAGAGUUCUGUAGGGGCUAGGUUGCCUCAUUACAUGGCGCAUAAGAGUGUAAUAAUCGAAGAUGAGCUUCCAAAAACUGCGACAGGAAAAAUCCAGAAGUUUGUUCUAAGAGAAAUUGUCAACGCUGUGAAUUGAGUUGUCUAGACUUCAAAGAUUUUAUGCUUUGCAUGAGAAGUGGGCCUUAGAAGUAGCAGCAUCACAACACAACUCCGGGCCUCACCUCAUAUACUUGCUUCACUGGGACUCCUCAGGUUUUGAAAAAUUAAAACAGGGACAGGGUCAGCUGUGUUUUCUAAUAGAAUCAUUCAAUCACGGAUUCACGAUACGAUCACACCCAAUAUUUUUGUUUUUCUUAUGUUCAAUGUAUAUAAUGCAAGCAAAACACUCCAUAAUACUGAUAUGCUGUAUUAUGCAAUUUACAGGCUCACACUUUUUUGUCAAACAAAAACAUGGGAAAUCAUCCUUUACAUGAAAUUGAGUAGAAGUAAAGGAUUGUAACUUUCCUAGUCAGUGGUGAAGAUAUUUUCCUCUUAGAUUAAAGCAGAUCUUGAUAAGCAAAUUCUUGGUGUGGAGAAUAUUUUCAGGGUAAAUUAUCACAAACUUUCACAGCUAAGUUCUCCAGAGGCCAAGGAUUCUGAUGCCAGAUAACUUUUCCUAAUCAUCUUUCUCGCAGCUUCAGGAGACUUCUGUCUUGUCCCCAACUACAAAACGGUUUGCAUCAUUACUCAAGCCAGACAAAUGAAGAUGCUUCCUCCUCUUGACAAGAUGUAAUGCAGUCUGUCUGUCAUCUCGAGCCUCCUCAGAAUCAGGCUGCAUAGAGAGGCACACUUGAUGAGAUGGGUACAAAAUUUGUACCAAAACAGUUGGUACACCUAUGAAUUGUCCAAUGUCUCAAAGGCAAGGACCUUAUUCAAGGUACAAUGACAGUAAGAAAUUGGCCGACUCUUUUAUUAACUUUUUCUUACAUCAAAACUAAAGGAAAAUCAAUUUUCAUCUAGCUCCCACAAAAUAGCACUUUAACAAGUAUAGCUUGCUGAAUCUUUAGUGGCAUUCCCACCAGUCACCAUUUGAUAGGUGUCCACCAAAUAUCGAGUUAAAAGCCAGAGUUUCAUAUCUUCAAUAAAAAUAUCAGGCUGAUUGUGUACCUUGAUAGCUAAUGCCCUGUCAAAGCUUUCGAUUGCUUUAUCAGGCUCCCCAAAGUUUAACUGUGCCCUACCUAGAGUUAUCCAUGCCUGAACAAAAGAACUAUUAUAAGAAACAGAGCAGAUAGUUGGAACUGAACAAAGUAAACAACAUCUUGAAAUUCAAUACAGAUCCCAGGAAAAGUUUGAUGCAGUUCACAUUAAAAAGGAAAGGAUAAAGCAUAUAGCUGAAUGAUCAUCCAACACAACAGUACCUAGGACUUUGGAUGUAGUUCAUAUUCACAGUCCAAUAGCUAAAGUAUGGCAAGCAUAAAGUUCAUUGACAGCUUUGGCAGUCUUAUAAUUCAAUCAAUUCCUCCCAGUUAAACAAAAACAUAAACUUUAAGUAGGUAGACAAUCAUAUGCCUCCAAAAGCUUUGUUUCAAUGGGGUGUUACAACUUACCAUGAAAACUGAAGGAACUAGUUGCAAAUUAAGGCCCAACAUACCAUCCAAAAAGGCUAAAAUUAAGUAAGUUUGAAAGUUGGAAUUUAUAAAGAUCUACAUUGUAAUGCAACUCUAAUAUUGCGAACUAACACAAGGUUUUGAACAUCUUUUCUUAGAUGCCAAGAAUAUACGGGAAAAUAGACCAUAAAAAGCAAUUCCAAUUGACAAGGAGAUUGAGGAGUAAUCCAAAAAAAAAAUGUAGCGCUUUUAAAAAAAAAAACACUAAUUACAAGUAUAACAAUUAGUUCUUAAAAUAGCAUGACAGUUAGCAUUUUCCAUUAACUUCAUAAGUCUUUGUAGGAAAUCUUAAAAAUGAAAAUUAUUUACACUGCACUAUCAGUUCAAUUUUGCAAAAUCAUGAUAGAAAAUAAAGUCCUUAGAGAAAUAAAAAACAAAAAGCAAAUUGCCAAUGAAAAACUUCAAAAAGAAGGUUCAGGUUUAUUUUUAAGGAAACCUUGUUCUUUCUUUCUUUAUUUAUUUAUUAUUUUAAGACAACAUAGAUAUUAAAUUUGAUAUAAGAACUGCACAGAUAACAAUCAAAUUCAAUGAGUUUAAGGUCGACAUACCUCUGCCCAUGAUUGUUCCAAUUCAGUAGCUCCUGUAAAGUUGAAAGUAUAAACCAUAAGUUAUGUACUACGGAACUUAUUACAAUAGACAAACAUUAGUUGUAAGAAAGUCCAAAAGUAUGCAACUCAGAACUUGAAAGAUGCUAAAUGUGAACAUUCUGUUCACUGGAUGUAUCAUAAAACCCAAUUUAUUCUGAUAGAAGACAUGAACUUAGAUAUUGAAAGAUUUUAAAAUUCAAGGGCAUAUAAGAAGUUUUAAGGAAGAUAACGCAUACUUGUCAGUCAUUUACAAUAAAACCAUUUAAGCAUAUCAAGCUACCAUUCAAAUACGAUGCAUGAAAGAAAAACGGAUAUGAAUUUGAUCAUACGAGUAGCUGCCUUCAAUGCAUUCCAUGCAUCCCCAAGUUCUAGUAAAACUUGUGCUUUCUGCUCAUGCAAGACCGCAUUUUCAGGCCUCAAAUUAAGAGCAGCCUCCCACUUUCCAAGUGCUUCCCGGAAUUUUCCAUCCUUCAAAAUGAAAGUGCCAUCAUAAUAGUGAAACGCAUGUAAACCCCAAAUGUAAAUAACAAAUAAAAACAAUACUUGCACACAUGCAAUUUUUCAGCCUAAUUAUUUUCCCCCCAAAAGCAAUCCUUUCCCUAUUGUCUCACAAAAUUGAUCGAACCUAACCAGCAAGUCCUUCAUGCCACAUAUUUAACAGCCCAGAUAGAAGUAAAAAUGAAAAAUUAUGUCUUUUCAAUAGAAAAAGCAGAAUUGAGUAUUGAAGCGAAAGUAAAGAAAAGGGUACCUCGGCAAGGUUAUUGCCUUGGGCUUCGAAUGAUAGGGCAAGUUGUUUAGCGUCGAAGGGUUCUUGAUGUUCGUUAUUAUCAUCGUUCUUUUCGAGCUCUGCACCACUUAAUCCGUGCUCUUGGUCUUGUUGGUCAAAAGGAAGAUUUGGGAAUUGCUGCAGUGACCGCUUCUUGUUGCCCUUGUUUUUGUUCCACGUCAAUUUCAUCUCUCUCCGCCUCUCCCCCUACUUUCUCAAUUUCUGGGGACAAAACCACCCACACUUAGAAACUUGUACCUCAGCCAUUGCAACCUCUUGCACUUCUUGUUCUAGUCGGUUAGAAAUAGGCAGCCCAGUCCAGUAACUAGCUGGACCCACUAAACAUAUUAAAAUGGCCCACUAAUUCAUAAGGAUGGGCUGCCCCAAAGCCCGUUCAUGAUGUGCAUUUUAGGUGUCUCUACUCUCUGGGAUAUCUAUCGUAGUAUUUUUUAAAACUUCAAAUAUCAUGAACAGCGCCCAUGGCCUAAUGGAUAAGGCGUCUGACUUCUAAUCAGGCGAUUGUGGGUUCGAGUCCCACUGGGCGUGAGGUUGGUCGCUUUUAUAGAGCUCAGUUCAUUUUUUUUUUCAACUUAAAUAUUGGUCUGUUUGUGUUCGGUCUUCCUUCUCUUUUUUCUAGAUUCAAGUCUGAAGAGAGCUACCAAUGAUUUUCAAUUCGUCCAAUCAGUUUCCUAGAAAGCCUCUUGUGGUGAGAACGUUGAAGACUUGUUCUUUUUAGUCUGUAUGCGUGUCACAUUUGUCUUUAUAUGUUAUGUAUAAAGUUUAUUGUUAAUCUAAACUUUAAUUAAGAUUAAGUAGUUAUUUUCACAUAAUUAUAUCAAAGUUACAUUUUCCUAUUUGAAUUUACAUACUCUAUCUCGAUUAAAUCUGCAUUUCCGUCUAACCUCACGCGACCCUUUUAAUCAAUAACAAAAGUUUCCCAGAAACUUCUAUUGAUUUCGUAAUUAUAUUUUAUAUAAUUCAGAUUCCCACUUACGUGUGUGAAAUUCAUGAUUCAUGAGAAAAGGAAAUGGUCAAUAAUAAUGAUGAAAAUAAUCUAAUUUAACUUGGUGAAAAUAGUAUUCUUUGAAUCGUUACUGUAUUACUGAAUCUAAGAAAUUAUUAUUAUUAUUUUGGCACCUAAAUAAAGGGCAAAAUUGGUUCACACAUCAAUGACACGUUGAAAUAGGAAAAGUAAACCAAAAUUAAUCCGGCAUAUAAAUGAAUGGCAAAAUUCCAAGAACCGCGUCCAUCUAGUCUACAGGGCUCACGCGGUUUUGGGCUUCAAAUAUCUAGCUACGAGCGGUGCUAGCGUUACAUAUGAAAGAAUUACGGACAAUUAAUAUUUGAUUUGUCUUUAUAUUUAAUAUAUUAUGAUGAGUUAAAAAAACCAAAAGGAAAUUAAAGUCCCACAUUUAAGUCUCCAAAAGCCCUUUGUUGCACGCGUAGUUCUCUGAAACAUAAUUAUCGCAGUUAUUAGGCCACUCAUCCAAUUCGGACUUUCACUUUGUUUCUAAAAUUAGAAACUACAGAAUUUAAUUAUGGGGCAGAAGCUGGGAGAGGAAAUUGCCAGAGCCGAGGUGGCUGCGCCGAGAUUCACUGCCAAGAAAGGAGGAAUCAUUCCGCCCAAAAGGAAGUCAGUGAAGAAGAUUAUAGGUAUUGAAAUAGCCCAGUCUGUUUCUUCUCUUCUCCGUUUAUGCUGCCUUUCUUCGAAAUCCCCUGAAGAUCCAUCUAUUAACACUAACACUAAUAGUUGCCCGAAAAUGGAAAAACAAAAUUAGGGCAUCAGGCUCAUACGUUAGCGUACAAAACCAUCAAAAUUUCACUUUAUAUAGAGCUUGUUUUAUAGUGAAAACCUAUAUCCAUACCCCGUCAGUUAACUUGCACUUUUUUUUUUUUUUUAAACUUCUAUUUCAUCUUUGUGUUGUACGAUUAUUAUAUCAUUGGAAUUACAUGCAAGCAUGUCGUGUACUAUUGUACAAGCAGCAAUAUCAAUAUAAUACGUAUCAUACACUGAUGGAGUGAAAAUUAACUACAUUUUUAUCCCAUCAGUUACUAUUUUAAUUAGUAAUUGCACUUGUAUGAAAGUUGUUUCUCUCAGCUUUCUUUUGUUCAAACUAUUUGUUAAUUCAUGUCCCUUGAUCUACCAUCUUUAAGCAAAAAGUUAGUGUUAGUUAAUUCGUGAGAAUGAUAGAUAUAGAGAGAGACAAAACACUUUAAUAAUUUCACUUUAUUCUUUAAAGUAGGCACCAUUGUAUCUUUGACACAUCUGGCCAAAUCUUUAAAGAUUUACAAGAACGUAAUUAGUUGGGGUCACACGGAUGACUGAUCCAUGAUCUCUAAAGUUUAAAGUACAAAAAGAAAUAAUUUCUAAUUUUUCGCUCCAUGUGCAAAUCACAUUUUUCAUUACAAAACAAUUUUUUUUUUUCCCGAUGGGUUUUGUUCUUUUCCAUUCUAUGAACAAUUUAUUCCUCUUCCAUUUUUAUAUUUCUGUUUAAUUUUAAAUAACUUCAACAUAAAUUAAUAUGGACGGAAUGUUCUAACUAUUAAACUAUACGUGCGGUUGGUGACUAUUUUAAUAUAACAGGUAAAAGUUCAUUUAUUCUUUUUAUUUUAAAAUUAGUAUUCAUUUAGUUCCUAUAUUUUUAAAAAUGUCUCGAAACAUCAUUGCCGUUAAAGUAUUAAUACCCCUACCAUUAUUUUUUUAUUUUUUUUCACUUACUUUUACAAUAUUACUCUUUUAUAAUAAUUUUUUUGUUUGGACAUUAAUAAAAAGAAAAUAAUUAAAUUACCAAUUUAACCCUAGAAAAUUAAAAAAAAUUAUAUUAAUUUUUUUGUAAGCACCAUUUGCACACUUGGUAGUUUGCAUACAAUUUUUGACAAUUUAAUUUUUGACAAUAAAAAUUAAUAUUAUUUUUUUUAGGGUUAAAUUGGUAAUUUAAUUAUUUUCUUUUUAUUAAUGUCCAAAUAAAAAAAUUAUUAUAAAAUGGUAAUAUUGUAAAAGUAAGUCAAAAGAAAUAAGUUAAUGCAUGGCCCUGGUCCUCGUAUGGUUGAUUUAGAAAAAUAAUUGACAGUAAGUUUGACUAAAUCAGAUGAGAUGGCGAGAGUUUAAUUUUAUUUUUUUAUGUGAGUUAGAAAAAUAUCACAUGAAUACGGUGGGCGGAUGUAGCAUGUGAACAGUGGGGGCUCAAGCUCCUACUGACAAAAAAAAUUCUAAAAUUAAAAAAGAAAAAUAUUUUAAUUUUCUAAUUAGUUCCAAUAAAAAAUUUAUUAAAAUAAUCACUAUAAAUUAUAAACCCCCAUAAAAUUUAAAAUUUAACUUUUAAGAAUUAUAAAAACUUAUAUUUUAAUUAAAAAUAAUGAUAGCCUACCACUCAAAAUAUUUUCUAUUCUCAAAAUUAUGAUUAAUUCUUCCAGUCUCUAUAAUAAUGCUAGAACGAACGUUUUUUGUAAUGAAACUCAUGAAGAAUCAUCUUUGGAAUCAAAUGGGAUAAAUGAUAGUUUAGUUGUUUAUAUAGGAAAUAAUAAAUUUAAUAAUAUUGAUAAUGAGUCUAUUGCAUAACAUUUUUAAAAUACGAAAAUGCGUAGAUAAUAUUAUAAAUGUAUUAGCAAAUAUUUUAUAUAAUCAAAAUUUUAGUUUUUCAUAUUUUACUAUUAUCUAAUUUAGCCCCCGAUAAAUUAUUUUUCUAAAUCCGUCACUGAGUACCUAGCCAUUGAAUUGUGUCAACCAUGCACCAACCAGCAAGUAACACGGAAGACAUUAUGGUCGAUUAGUCAACGAGAUACUAUAAUAGAUAUAUGUUAGCUUAGGUAAAAUUAAUGUCCGAUAAUUUUUAAGCAGUAUUUUGUUGAAUGAUUAAUUGGUGGUUCUGUUAAUUUCAUAGAGAUAUAUAAUUAGAUUCGUCAAGAAAACCAAACUUGAAUAGCCUUAAACCAAGAAAUUCCAAUUCGACAUAUAUACGAGAUAUCGAAAUUUUAACACAACUUUGAGGGGAGACCAUAAUUAUAACUAUAAACUAAUUUAAGAUGAUUGGCACUUAUAUUAUAAAUAAAAAAGCAUAAAAUGUUUUUGUUUAAUAGAAACAUUUUGGUCAUUUUCAAAUUUCUGACGAAGUAAUUGUGACGGUUCUUUCCACAAUCAGUCAAUUAUUAUGAUCGCUCACUUUAUGCUAAUUGUUCAACCACUCUUUCAACUUUUUUUUUUUUUUUCUGUUCAACGAUGGAAUGAUAAAAUGAUCAAAAUAAUGUGAUAGGCUGAUAAUGAAUUAAGUCCAAUGCACACAAGAAAGUUUUGAAAAAGUUUUUGGAAAUAUCGAUCUAUAGAUUUAUAUCAUUGAUCAAAAUAGAUAAAAACAAGCAAUUACACCGUUUUUUGGAGAGUUGUUUUAGUUUCUUUCAAUUCUCAUAAAAGCAUUUGCUGUCUUAAAUUUCCUAUCAGCUCCAGCUUGAUCUCAAUAUUUCCUUAUUAGCGUAUCAGUACAAUCAUUUAGUGUACUCCUGUUCAAAAUCAUUGAAUCCCUUAAAUUGGAAUUGUAAAAUUUGAUUUUUCCCUUUGAAGAGUAUAAUCUAGCUAGUUAGGCUUGGUCAUGAAUUUCAUGAUCACCAAACCAUCUGAUUAAGCCACUAAACUUAGAGAUAGAAAAUUUAAUCAAUUAUAUAUUAAAAUGCAAACCAAAUAUACAGUAACAAUUGAUCAAACAACAUUGUUACCUGGUUUCAACUUAGCCAAGAAAUGUCCAAGAAACUUCCUAGCUCGAAAUUAUUUAUAAUUAAAAGGCUUUAAUAAUAUAAUUUUAUGACCCUAGUAAUUUAUUUCGAAUGUGGCAGUAAGUUGCUCAAAGUAAUCAAUUUCCAAAUGAAGAUAAAGACAUGAGUCAUGACCACCUUGCCACAAUAUUACUAACGGGUCAUAUGUGUGUGUGUGUUUAUAUCAAAAUCUCCAAUUAUGUAUCAUGCAUGCAUGUAUGUGUGUAUGUAUAGUUUUUCUUUAGUGCCAACAGCCUCAUUUUUUUUUUUUAAAUGCGGACACACUCUUAAAACCAUGAGGUUUAAUAAAUUUAUUUAUAAUUGAACUAUAAAGUCGUGCGGUUUAAGAGAGUUAAAAUCUUAACUCUAUUAAACCCUAUAAUUUAAAAGCGUGUCUGUAUGAAAAAAAAAAAAGAGAGAGAGAGAGAGAACGUCCGUACUAAAAAACAGAUUAUACACAUACAUACAUACAUACAUACAAACAUACAUUCAUACAUACAUACAUACAUCCACAAAUACAUACAUGAUAGAUGAUUGGAAAUUUUGAUAAUGUAAAAGAUAUUGCGUUGAUUAAAUCAUCAAUACUUUUGAUUGAAGUGUUAUAUAUGGAUUGGAUUUGAUUUUUACCAAGAAGUUCAUUUGAACUACUUAUAAUUUAAUAUACAUCUAGGGUCUAUAUAAAAUAUUGUCCAAGUUAACAAGUAAUUCCGAUUUCAGUUAUUUUUCACAAUGAUACCGGUGCUUAAUUUGUUUUGAGAGACGAUUUUAGAUGAGUAUCGCGGUAAAAGUGUCCUUUGUAGCGGUAAUUUUUGGAUGUUGGUCAAGUUUACUGCAGCAAGGAAUUUACCAUUGGCUUAUCCUUGAAAAAAUUAAGUUCAAGUCUCAUACGAAGGAAGUGCCAAAAUUUGAAAAUCAACACACUGACUUUUUACCAUGAACAUUUUGUCACGUUCUCACAUAGUUACAUUUAAUAAUCAACAAUAGGAGCCAAUAUCUCAACAGCUAGCAGAACCUUCUUCUAGUUAUAUAUUUUUCUGCAAAAACCACGUAAUUCCAAAACUUUCGUGGCUCGGUUAGAGCAUGCACCCCUUUGACAAGUGAGUUCGACUCUUCACGAAUUUUCAGUUUGAUAAAUUUCACAGAAACUUCUCACUUUGAUCGUUAAAUUUUCACUCCCGUGUGUGAAAGUCAAGAUUCAUAAGAGAAUAAGAUGACCACUAUUGACAGAAAUGUCUGAGGCAUCAUCAUGGAAAGUGAUUUCUGUGCGAAUUUCCACUGCAAUUCCAUAUAUAUGUAUCGUUAAUUGUCAGCUACUGAACCCAGUUAUUAAAGCCUUUGUUGAUGGAUGAAUCAUAAAUCAAGACCAGACCCAAAAGGACGGUAUUUUCUUUUUAGUUUCCAGCUUCCGAAUUUACUCAUUUAGGUCCAACUCAGGUUAGUGACUUAACCAGUUUAGUCCACGCACGUAAAUCGCUUAUGUUGACUAAAGUCAAAAGGCCGUUAUUGGCCGUGCUCUAACAAACUCUCCUAUUCAUAGAAUUAUAGCUGAUUUACCGCCUUUCUAUAGAUAGAGAUUUAGAGUUAUAGAGAAAAAAAUUCGGGAAAGUUUCCUCUUGAGAUAAGCUCUAGCUAUGUGGUUAUUAUAUAAACACUUGUUAUAGUAACUUAGAAGCUAAAUUGAUUUCAUUCUACAUUUAUAUAAUGAAAAUUUUAUAUUAUUUUAAUUACUUUUGUCAAUGUUAUUAUUUAAAAAUUAUAUUGACCACAUAUUAUUAAAUUUUAUUUUAUAGUGAUAUUUUUUCUUAAGUAAUAAUGACUUUUAAGACGCAACAUUUUAUUUUCUCUUUCAAAAAGAAAAGAGAAAAUUAAAAAAAAAAAAAAACAUUCCUUUAUGCUUUCUUUCGUAGUUGACAUUGCUUUUGUUGCUUUUGUGCAAUGCUAUAAAAAAUGGUAGAGAAGAAAGUGGUGGACAACAUGCUUCUAAACCUCUCAUUUGAUUGUUUCACUUGUACUCAAGUUAGACAUAGAAAGUUUUGAUAAUUAGGGUUAUACUUCAUAUACCUUUUGAGUCAUUAAUGGAAAUGUUUUAAGAUUACUUUGGUUUAAUUUUCACCGCAUUUUUCAUUUUUAGAAUAAACUUUUGUAAGGAUUUGCAAAGGCUUCAGGAUUGCAAGAGUUCGGGAAACUUAGAACAUAUAUAUUAAACUUGUAUUUUCGAAUGGGGACGUAAGUGAGAAUAGCGGCCCACAACUCGGCCUAAUUUAAAUAGUUUGGGCUUUUUGACAUAUUUAAGAGGAGUAAAGACUGUAAAGUUAUUAGCACCCCUUUUUUAUCCUUAUAAAACCCAACUUCAUAUAAAAUUAUAAUUAAAGACAUAUAAGAAUUAAAUACAUCAAGAUUUUUUCUAACAAAUUACUUACAUUUAUAAUCAAUUCUUUUUUUAUUUUCUACUUGUUACUUCCUAUAUAACUAACAUAAAUUGCAUAAUUUUAGAAUAAUCUAUAGUUCUUUUUCUACUUCUUAUUGAUUAAAUAUGUUUCUACUUAAAAUUGCUUUCAAAUUAUAAUCUAAAAUAUGUAUAAUUUAAGUUAAUGAUUAAGAAUAAAAAAUUAAUCACUGAAAAAACUUUUAAUUUGUACGUAAGGUAACAAUAAGAUUGCAAAAGAGGGGAAAAAAACACAAUACGAUUUUGAGUUUUAACAAUAAAAAAAUUAAAUGAAAAAUAGAAGAGUGUAUUUGAAAAAAAAAAAGAAAUAUUUUUGGAAAUAAAAUAAAUGUAACUGAAAAAGGGAUAUAUAUAGAAUGUACAAAGUAAAAGUUAAUUUUUUAAAUUUCGUAUGUAAGUGUAAAUAUUAAUAAAGUAUUUUGAAAAUUUUUUAAGAGUGUAAGUAGCUUCAACCGUAAGUUUGAUAAAAAUCACUUUAGCUUCCCAACCAUAGCUACAAAUACAAUGUUUACAAAUACUUUAAUGUAAGUCACAUCUCCCCCAACAACGAUAGCAAGUAUUGUCAAACACUUUACUGCAAACCACAACUCCCAAACAACAAUACCAAACAGAGUCUAAAUGCCAAUUUGGUAAUGUUGUAGCAUUUAAAAUCAUAAUUAUUAGUUGUGCUAUAUAAUUAAUCAGUUCUGAAGAGAAUUAACUAAACAUUUUGUAAUUUUUUUUUGAAAUACUCUGAUUUUUAAAAAUAAUCAUAUGUAUUUCAUAUGUCUUACUUCUAAACUAUUGUAAGAAUACAAAUGAUUAAAAUGGACAUAAUAUUAAAUAAUAUUUAUGUACGCAUUUAUAAAUAUGUGCGCAUUUAUAAACAUGUACAUAUAAUAUAUUUUUAUUAUGUAUAUGUAAUAAUUGAUUAUUGGAAUAAAUAUUUUUUAUUUUUUAUUUUUAUUUUGUCAUCACAAUAUAAUUGAUAGUUAUAAUAAGUCUUUAAACUUAAUAAUUGUAUUUUCUAUUUGAAUAGGGAAAUUUUUUAUAUAUAUAUGAAACUGUGUUAAGUAUAAGACUGAUUCUCAAAAUCAGAUUUUAAAAAAUUACUCUUUUCCUAUUUUUAACUUUUCAAAAUCUGUUGUACACAGGCAAAAUACUUUUAGAAAAAUUUAUCAAACACUAAUGUUAAUUUUGUAUUUUUUAAAUUAUUUUUCAACAUUUCAAAAGUAAUCUCAAAUAGGUUAAUUGGCCGGAGCCAAAACACGAAAAACAAGAAAACAUAAUUUAAAAGUUAAUAGAAACAAAUUAAAACCUUCCUGUGACUUCGCAAUAGACCAAAACAAAGUUACAACAAAUUUAUUGGGGUCAAUUAUUGAUGCAACGCUUUUUAUACGAAAAGGUUUUACUAGAAACUGACACAGUGAAUGAGGAAAUGAUGAAGUUGAUGGAUAUAUAAAAUAUACUUUUCAAUGUAUAUUUUAUUAAUUCAAAGAAUAUUUGAAAUAACGAAAUAUUAUAAUUAAAUUCACAUCCAGUUAAGAAUAUCUGUAAAUCUGGGUAGUUAAGUUAUGUCCUGUUGAUUUAAUAAAAUAACUAGAAAUAAUCUGAGGUUAAAACUUACACAAUGGCCUUGAAAUUAAAAUCAUUAUAUAGCUCAAGUCUUCCUCAAAAAGCUACAAUAGACUCAUGCAUAUAUAUAAUGAGAGAUUCAGUACUAUAAUUACUAAUGGGUUUGUUUUUGUGAAUCAGAGCUGUAAGUUCUAAUAAAUAAGAUUUGAUUGAAGAAAAUGGCUCUUUUUAAAAAAAUCUCUUCUUUGUAAUUCCUUUGGCUUUGCACACAAUUCUUACCCUCAUUCCAAUCCAAUUUCCAAACGGACUUGGCCGUGUAUUAAUGAUUAUUAAUGUUUCGUCUUCUGUUUUGUUAAAUUGGAAAAUUCGAGAGGGAUGAGAGAGAAGAAGGAAAGCAAAUACUUUUAGAAAUGGAGGAAAAAAAAAAUUUUUAAGAUGAAAAUUAAUAGUUACAUACCAAAUUAGGGUCCGCUUGUAAUACAGCGUCUGUAUCUCAUACAGCUGAAUUUAAUAUUUUAUUAAAAAAAAUGGCAACCGUUAGAUAGAAGUAAAUACAUCCAAUGGUUAAUAUAUGUGAUAACUCAUUUUGGCGACCGGAUAUGGCAGUUAUUAUUUCAUCAAUUAACUUAAUUAAAAAAUCACAGCCGUUGGAUUGUGAUGUCUCUCUCUCCCUCAUAAUAAAAGCCUUCGCAUUCUCCCUCCUAUUGUUUUCUCCUAGAUCCAGAAUUUUGGAUGAUAUGAACUUGUUAUUCAGGAAUAUUCACCACCCAUCACAGCAAAGAGCAAAGAUGUAGUAGAAGGAGUGCCAUUUAUUCAAGGUUACUCGAUCUGUCACUCUCACUUCAAUUCGUCGCUCAACUUCUUGAGGACAUCUUCAAUCCAUCACUCUCAACUUCAGUUCGUCACUCACAGCUUCAAAUUUUCACUCUCGUGAAUCACCUCUCUUGUUGUGCCUCUCUCUUAUGUCUCCCAACAAUUUCGGUGAGCUCUCUCUCUAAUUUAAUAUAUGAUAAAAAAUCUUAUCAUGUCAUUUAAAUAUGUUUGAAGUUUCAGUUUAGUUUAUGAUUAUUACUUGAAAUUUCAGUUUCAAUGAUUUGAUUUUGCAACUGAGAAAUUAUUACUUGAAAUAUUGAGAUGAUUUCCAGGGAUUCAUAAUUGAAAGAUAAUUGCUAGGGCUUGUCUUUUUUUGUUUUUUAUCUUGAGAUUAUGUUUUUCACAAAAAGGGAAAAAAAGAAAAAAGAAAAAGAAAAAAGAGGUUGCACUAUCUAGCAUCAAGCAACUGCAAGUAAUGGGUUUGUUUUGAUGAGCUGCGAAUUGGGGCUUCUCAUUUUCUUGAAUUAUCUUCAAUAUAAGUGGAAAGGGAUUUCUUCUCUCUAAAAAUUAUUGUAUAUUUCCUUUUAAAUUCUAGGUUGACAUGUAACUGAUUUUUUAUGUUUGAAGGAUUUUAUUAAAGAAUGUGAUGCUGCCAGUGGCAUGAAUUAAUGUAGUCUCGCUAGUAUAUUCCUGAUUUGGGGUAAUGAUUGAACGAUUAUAUUUGUAUUAUUCUUAUAUUUGAAUCCAGUGAUAUUGUGGUGGUUUUAUGAUAAUAUUCUGCUGUACGGCCAAGGCGGAUGUACGGUACAGCAGUUUUCCAAUUUUUUUUCAUUUUCAAAUAUUUUUUAGGUAUAUGUUGUAUGGGGUUGUUGUUGAAUUUGCUGGACCUUGGAUGUGAUUCUUGCCGUGUUUAUAAGAAAUAAACAAAUGUCUUUCUGUGGUAAUAAAAUUGUCUAAGUUGCGUUACGGAGGAUGCAAAACAACUUAUUCUUUAUCUUUUUGAUGACAAAUUGAAUAACAUGUAUUAUCUGAUAUAUACAAACUGCUUUUACGACAAGUGUAUUUGUAAAGUGCGCUCAAAUAUUAUUAUCUUGCUGUUAUUUGUUGAAAUAACACCAUUCUUUCAUGGUAAAAGGGAAAUUGUGGUGGAUAUAUGAGACAACAGUAUAAUUCGGAGUAGCAUGCAUACUCUUUUGCCAGGAGAAUGGAUUGAUGGCGAUGUAAUAGCUGCUGCAGUUUCAGAUUAUAAAUAUGUACGCAGAUUAUAAGAAUAUGAAAGAGGCUGAAAAAGAUGUCACUUCCCCUCGAUGUUGGUUCCUACCUACAUAUUACUCUGUAAGAUAGCCAUAAAAUUAUAUCAUUCAAACACUUCUAUGGAAAUAAGCUAGUGUAGUUAGUUGCUUGACCCUUUUUCCACUUUCUUUGAUUUAACCUUUGUUCUAAAGCAAGCUGCACUAGCUGAUUGGAGUAGCCUUAACUUUGCACAAGCUGCUGGUUUCCGAGAUCGAUACAUGGGUCGUUUGGAUACCUGUGAAAAGGUUAACACAUAACGUGAAUUUAGUUUCUUUUUCACUGUUAUUGUUAUAACUUCUUUUCAUUUCACCUGAUUGAUAACAAAACAUUAUGCAUUUAUUGAUGUCCGUUCAAUGUUUAAUACUUUAUACCAUGGCAGAUUUAUGUCCCCAUAAAUUGUGAUGGUCAUUGGUACAUGCUUCUUGUUGACAUUUCUCAUGCAACUGCAACUAUUUGGGAUUCAUUGGAAUCACCGAGUCGAAAAGAGAAAAUGAUUAAUGAGUCUUUGGCAAUUGUAUGUUCUUAAAAUCAUUGACUAUAUUUGCAUAUAUUUCACACUUGAAUGUUUUAAAUCUUGCAAUACUUAUUGCUUGUUGAUGUUGGCAGCUUGCCUCCCUGGAUUUUGUUCUCCGUCAAGAGGCUAGAGCUCUUUUUGGUAAUCGAUUCAGUUUUUUAAAUUUUCAAAUAUGUUGUCAAGCUGGUGUACCACAACAGCCAAAUGGUUUUGAUUGCGGCUACUAUGUGAUGAAGUAUAUGGAUAAUCUUUCUAUUGUUGUCCAUGACUCUUAUCAGGUUGGUACAGUUGUAUCUUAUUGGUGUAUAAUAUCUUUUCUGUAUUAGAUUAACAAAUAAGGAUUUAUAUCAGCAGGAUAAGGAUCGACUUUUUAAAUAAAGUUUUUUUUUUUAACUAUUUCAGCAUGACUCGGAUCACGCUCGCCUUCUUCUAGCUCUUUAUUUGGUGCAAUCUCCGCUUAACAAGAUCAGACGUCGACUUAUUCAAGAAGCGCGCAAGUUAUAGGUUGACUGUGCAGUCUUUUUAUUUUUGUUUGCCGAACCAUUUUGUAGCAUUGUAGCAACGUUAGGGUAAAAGGUUGGCAAUUUUUUUGUGAUGCCACCCCAUUUGUUGGUAUUUUGUAUAACAACUAGUGUUGUUGUAGAAUCCACGAGUUCACUAACCUGGGUUAGCUGAUGAGUCAUUUAGGGUUGCCAUGGAUCUUUUACUCUAGACGAUUAAGUCUUAACAAGAGAACGAGGCUCUGAUACCAAUUGAAAUACAAGUAAGCAACCCAAGAGGGGGGGUGAAUUGGGAUUCUAAAAAAUUAUUCAAUAUUAAAGAAAAUCUUAAUGCAAUUAUAACUCAAAUUCAAAGCAAUAANNNNNNNNNNNNNNNNNNNNNNNNNNNNNNNNNNNNNNNNNNNNNNNNNNNNNNNNNNNNNNNNNNNNNNNNNNNNNNNNNNNNNNNNNNNNNNNNNNNNNNNNNNNNNNNNNNNNNNNNNNNNNNNNNNNNNNNNNNNNNNNNNNNNNNNNNNNNNNNNNNNNNNNNNNNNNNNNNNNNNNNNNNNNNNNNNNNNNNNNNNNNNNNNNNNNNNNNNNNNNNNNNNNNNNNNNNNNNNNNNNNNNNNNNNNNNNNNNNNNNNNNNNNNNNNNNNNNNNNNNNNNNNNNNNNNNNNNNNNNNNNNNNNNNNNNNNNNNNNNNNNNNNNNNNNNNNNNNNNNNNNNNNNNNNNNNNNNNNNNNNNNNNNNNNNNNNNNNNNNNNNNNNNNNNNNNNNNNNNNNNNNNNNNNNNNNNNNNNNNNNNNNNNNNNNNNNNNNNNNNNNNNNNNNNNNNNNNNNNNNNNNNNNNNNNNNNNNNNNNNNNNNNNNNNNNNNNNNNNNNNNNNNNNNNNNNNNNNNNNNNNNNNNNNNNNNNNNNNNNNNNNNNNNNNNNNNNNNNNNNNNNNNNNNNNNNNNNNNNNNNNNNNNNNNNNNNNNNNNNNNNNNNNNNNNNNNNNNNNNNNNNNNNNNNNNNNNNNNNNNNNNNNNNNNNNNNNNNNNNNNNNNNNNNNNNNNNNNNNNNNNNNNNNNNNNNNNNNNNNNNNNNNNNNNNNNNNNNNNNNNNCCAGAGACCUGCAAGAUGAGCAUUUGUUAUCCGUUUACGCUAAACGGUUAAGGACUUGCGUGAAGUGGCUUCUCUGGACAUUAUCGGUUAACCGUUUGAUAUAAACGGUUCGCCGUUUGUCUCCAGUAACCUGCAAAACAAUUUAGCCUUAUCAGUUUUCGUUAAUCAAUGCCAGAGGAGGACAACCUUCAAUUCUGGACAUUAUCGGUUAACCGUUUAAAAUAAACGGUUCACCGUUAAGUUCCAGUAACCUUCCCAUCUUUUGUGUUUUCCGUUUUUCAUAAACGGUUAGAGGUUUAGGGAAAAUGUUUGCUCUCUGGCUGUUAUCGGUUAACCGUUUAAAUAAACGGUUCACCGUUUAUAACCAGAAUUGCAUUUUAAACCAGUUUUUGCAGAGAAUCUUUUUCUAAUUUUAAAGUCCAUCUUUUAUGAAGCAUGAAUGGAAUGAUUACUAAGGCUCUCGUUUAUUAAGAAAUAGCUCCAAUACUUUUAUCAAAAAUCAUUUAAAAUUUGUUAUCAUCAAAAUCAAUAUUAUUAACAUAUUUAUGUUAACAAUCUCCCCCUUUUUGAUGAUGACAAAUUCUAAUCAAUGUUUAGCUCCCCCUUAAUAUGUGCUCCCCCUAAAUGUAUGGCCAAAUUGAGAAAUGUGAAUAAAAGGAAUUUUUGCUUUAAAUUGCCCCAUUUUAAAUCCAUCUUAAAAAAAUAUCUCCCCAUUUAAAAACCAUAUUAAAAAAAUAUCUCCCCAUUUAAAAACCAUCUUAAAAACCAUAAUUAUCUCCCCUUCAUCAUCAAAAAGAAAAGAGGAAAUAAGAAAUACGCAAAUCCAUGAAAGAAAGUGCCCGGUUUUGGCAAGCGAAAAAAAUUUUGGCAGAGUUUCCCCUUAAAAAUGAGUAAAACCAUAAAUACAAAAUGAGAUAAAACACUUCCAAAAUUAGAUCAACAUUAACUUCUGCUUUCAACAAGCCAACAACUCCAUAAACACAUCAAAAGAACACUUCAAGAACCACAAACAUACCAACACUCCAAUAUCCACAAAUAAACCANNNNNNNNNNNNNNNNNNNNNNNNNNNNNNNNNNNNNNNNNNNNNNNNNNNNNNNNNNNNNNNNNNNNNNNNNNNNNNNNNNNNNNNNNNNNNNNNNNNNNNNNNNNNNNNNNNNNNNNNNNNNNNNNNNNNNNNNNNNNNNNNNNNNNNNNNNNNNNNNNNNNNNNNNNNNNNNNNNNNNNNNNNNNNNNNNNNNNNNNNNNNNNNNNNNNNNNNNNNNNNNNNNNNNNNNNNNNNNNNNNNNNNNNNNNNNNNNNNNNNNNNNNNNNNNNNNNNNNNNNNNNNNNNNNNNNNNNNNNNNNNNNNNNNNNNNNNNNNNNNNNNNNNNNNNNNNNNNNNNNNNNNNNNNNNNNNNNNNNNNNNNNNNNNNNNNNNNNNNNNNNNNNNNNNNNNNNNNNNNNNNNNNNNNNNNNNNNNNNNNNNNNNNNNNNNNNNNNNNNNNNNNNNNNNNNNNNNNNNNNNNNNNNNNNNNNNNNNNNNNNNNNNNNNNNNNNNNNNNNNNNNNNNNNNNNNNNNNNNNNNNNNNNNNNNNNNNNNNNNNNNNNNNNNNNNNNNNNNNNNNNNNNNNNNNNNNNNNNNNNNNNNNNNNNNNNNNNNNNNNNNNNNNNNNNNNNNNNNNNNNNNNNNNNNNNNNNNNNNNNNNNNNNNNNNNNNNNNNNNNNNNNNNNNNNNNNNNNNNNNNNNNNNNNNNNNNNNNNNNNNNNNNNNNNNNNNNNNNNNNNNNNNNNNNNNNNNNNNNNNNNNNNNNNNNNNNNNNNNNNNNNNNNNNNNNNNNNNNNNNNNNNNNNNNNNNNNNNNNNNNNNNNNNNNNNNNNNNNNNNNNNNNNNNNNNNNNNNNNNNNNNNNNNNNNNNNNNNNNNNNNNNNNNNNNNNNNNNNNNNNNNNNNNNNNNNNNNNNNNNNNNNNNNNNNNNNNNNNNNNNNNNNNNNNNNNNNNNNNNNNNNNNNNNNNNNNNNNNNNNNNNNNNNNNNNNNNNNNNNNNNNNNNNNNNNNNNNNNNNNNNNNNNNNNNNNNNNNNNNNNNNNNNNNNNNNNNNNNNNNNNNNNNNNNNNNNNNNNNNNNNNNNNNNNNNNNNNNNNNNNNNNNNNNNNNNNNNNNNNNNNNNNNNNNNNNNNNNNNNNNNNNNNNNNNNNNNNNNNNNNNNNNNNNNNNNNNNNNNNNNNNNNNNNNNNNNNNNNNNNNNNNNNNNNNNNNNNNNNNNNNNNNNNNNNNNNNNNNNNNNNNNNNNNNNNNNNNNNNNNNNNNNNNNNNNNNNNNNNNNNNNNNNNNNNNNNNNNNNNNNNNNNNNNNNNNNNNNNNNNNNNNNNNNNNNNNNNNNNNNNNNNNNNNNNNNNNNNNNNNNNNNNNNNNNNNNNNNNNNNNNNNNNNNNNNNNNNNNNNNNNNNNNNNNNNNNNNNNNNNNNNNNNNNNNNNNNNNNNNNNNNNNNNNNNNNNNNNNNNNNNNNNNNNNNNNNNNNNNNNNNNNNNNNNNNNNNNNNNNNNNNNNNNNNNNNNNNNNNNNNNNNNNNNNNNNNNNNNNNNNNNNNNNNNNNNNNNNNNNNNNNNNNNNNNNNNNNNNNNNNNNNNNNNNNNNNNNNNNNNNNNNNNNNNNNNNNNNNNNNNNNNNNNNNNNNNNNNNNNNNNNNNNNNNNNNNNNNNNNNNNNNNNNNNNNNNNNNNNNNNNNNNNNNNNNNNNNNNNNNNNNNNNNNNNNNNNNNNNNNNNNNNNNNNNNNNNNNNNNNNNNNNNNNNNNNNNNNNNNNNNNNNNNNNNNNNNNNNNNNNNNNNNNNNNNNNNNNNNNNNNNNNNNNNNNNNNNNNNNNNNNNNNNNNNNNNNNNNNNNNNNNNNNNNNNNNNNNNNNNNNNNNNNNNNNNNNNNNNNNNNNNNNNNNNNNNNNNNNNNNNNNNNNNNNNNNNNNNNNNNNNNNNNNNNNNNNNNNNNNNNNNNNNNNNNNNNNNNNNNNNNNNNNNNNNNNNNNNNNNNNNNNNNNNNNNNNNNNNNNNNNNNNNNNNNNNNNNNNNNNNNNNNNNNNNNNNNNNNNNNNNNNNNNNNNNNNNNNNNNNNNNNNNNNNNNNNNNNNNNNNNNNNNNNNNNNNNNNNNNNNNNNNNNNNNNNNNNNNNNNNNNNNNNNNNNNNNNNNNNNNNNNNNNNNNNNNNNNNNNNNNNNNNNNNNNNNNNNNNNNNNNNNNNNNNNNNNNNNNNNNNNNNNNNAUGAAAUACAAGUAUGCAACCCAAGAGGGGGGUGAAUUGGGAUUCUAAAAAAUUAUUCAAUUUAUUAAAGAAAAUCUUAAUGCAAUUAUAAAUCAAAUUGAAAGCAAUAACAAUUAAGAAGAUCACAAUAUAAAAAACCGUUUGACUGGUCAAUACGACCGUUGAGCUGAUUUUUCAAAAUGUCGGAUCGCCGUUAUCUAGAUGUCGGAUCGCCGUUUGUGUCCAGAGGCUACACUUCACUUCUGGUUAAUAUCGGCGAGCCGUUUAUCACAAUUGUCGGAUCACCGUUUUUGUCCAGAGGCUACUGGAUGUUUGUUAUCAUCAAAAUCAAUAAGGAAUAAUUUAUGUUAACACCUAAUACUUCUACCACAAACAACCAAGUUGCGGAAAUCAUCAAUAUCAAUAAAAAAAUGAUUAAGUACCUUUUGACCAUCGAAGCGAUCCUCAAACUGCUUAGCCAAGGCAGGAGUGGGGAAGUGAAUCCUUGAAAAUUCAGAGACCUCUCGAGGUGGUAUGGGAUUCCUUGGAGGCACAGAUUUACGCCUAGGAUUUCUCCGAGAGGGUUCAGCCAUGGAAACACGAAAGUAAAUCGAUAAAAGGUUUAAGGAAGAGUAGAGGAUGUGAGUAGGAUGUUUAAUUUGGUUGAAGAAAGGUGGAAUUCGGAUUAAGGAAGAAGAAACUCGACCCGCGACAGUUAGGGUUUAGAUUUGGGAUUUUUGAAUUUUGGGCUCGAUUUGAAGUUUUGAAUCGAUAGAAAUGUUCUAAAGGUGAUAAGAAAUGAUUUUGAGGGUUUGAUUUGGCACGGAAAGCAAGAAAAAUGAGGAUUUGAGGACAAGGAGACCUUCGGCUGCGCAACAAUGGAGGAAACGGUGAGAGGGUAACUGGAGAAGGAGAAGAAAAGCUUUGAACAGUUUUUAUACUUCGAGAAAACGGUUAACCGUUUAUUGAAACGGUUAAAGGUUAACUCCCAGGGGCUGAAGAAACAGAAACGGUGUAAGCUUAAGCGCUUAACGGCUAAGGGGUAACUGUUAGAGGACUCUCUGUUCAAAAACGGUUCACCGAUUGUGGCAAACGGUGAAAGGGUAACUGGACAGACACACAAUCUCGUUUCUGGAAUUAAACGGUGAUCCGUUUACAGGAAACGGCUAACCGUUUAUUUUAUCUGUAAUUUCGCACAUUUGAUUUAAUUUUUGGCUAGCAAAUAAUAUAUUUCAAGAUCAUUUGAUUGAUCUGAAAAUAUUUUAUGAGCCAAUUUAAUUCAUGAUUCAUGAACAUGUUUUCAACCAAUCAAUUCAUAUAAUCAAGAUAUAUCAAUGCAAAUUCAUCAUUUGUCUACCAAGCUCAAGCAUUUUAUAAGUAGUAAUCAAUCAAUUUAGUACACUCAAUAGCAUGACUGCUGUACGGCCAAGGCGGAUGUACGGUACAGCAGAUUAUCAGGUAUGGUAAAAUGGUAUUUUGACUUNNNNNNNNNNNNNNNNNNNNNNNNNNNNNNNNNNNNNNNNNNNNUCCAGAGAGUCCUCAAAACAAAUUCAUAAAAACGGCGAGCCGUUUAUAUCAAUAACGGCGAGCCGAUAGGGUCCAGAGAGUCCACACAAGAAAAAUGUAUCAGGACGGCGAGCCGAUAGACAGAUAUCGGCGAACCGAUAGCUUCCAGAAAGCGUUCCAUUGUUUCUGCCCAAAACGGUUAGCCGUUUAUUUAAAUAACGGCGAUCCGUUUUCUACAACCUAUGAUUUCGCACAUGUAUUUUGAUAUUUGGCUACUUAUUAAUACAUUUCAAGAUCAUUUUAUUGAUCCAAAAUGAUUUGAGUGCCAUUUCAAUGCAUAAUUCAUGAAUAUAUAUAUAUGUAUUGCAAUAAUUAAUUCAUACAUUUUCAAAUAUACAUACACAUUACAUGCAUAUUACGAUUGAGCAUUCCAUAGAAAUUAAAGCAUCAAGUCAUAGAUCAAUCAAUAAUAAUAGACUCAAUAGCAUGAAUGAAGAUGUUAAUGUGAAAAUUUCAUCAUCCCAAGUUCAUGCCGAAUUUUGGAAAAUUGUUCUUCGCAAAGAGGUUUUGUAAAAAUAUCGGCAAGUUGUUUUUCCGUAGAAAUAAACUCUAGUGCAAUGUCUCUCUUUUGAACAUGAUCUCUCAAGAAAUGAUGUCUAAUUUCUAUAUGCUUGGUUCUAGAGUGUUGAAUGGGAUUCUUUGAAAGAUUUAUAGCACUAGUAUUAUCACACUUAAUAGGAAUUUGUUCAAGAUUAAUGCCAUAAUCUCUAAGUGUUUGUUUCAUCCAAAGUGCUUGUGCACAACAACUUCCGGCAGCUAUAUAUUCAGCCUCGGUAGUUGAAAGUGCAACAGAAUUUUGUUUCUUGCUAAACCAUGAAACAAGAGAGUGUCCUAAAAUAUAGUAAGUUCCACUAGUGCUCUUCCUAUCCACUUUAUAACCAGCAAAAUCCGCAUCCGAAAAGCAUGUUAAAUCUAUGUGAGUUCCCCUAGGAUACCAAAUGCCAAUAUCUAUGGUUCCACUCAAAUAACGGAAAAUUCUUUUACCAGCGAGCAAAUGAGAUUCCUUGGGACAUGACUGAAAUCUUGCACACAAACAUACACUAAACAUGAUAUCGGGUCUACUUGCAGUCAAAUAAAGUAGGGAUCCGAUCAUACCUCGAUACAUUUUGAUGUCUACUUCUUUACAUUUUUCAUCUUUGUCCAGCUUGGUUGUUGUGCUCAUUGGUGUAUUCUUGGUCUUUGAAUCAUCAAUGCCGAAUCAUUUGAGUAGAUCCUUUACGUACUUGGCUUGAUUUAUGAAAAUUCCUUCCUCGUUUUGUUUGAUUUGAAGUCCAAGGAAGUAUUUCAACUCUCCCAUCAUACUCAUCUCAAAUUCUUUGCUUAUACACAAUAAAAAUUCUUUACACAACAACUCAUUAGUAGAACCAAAAAUAAUAUCAUCAACAUAAAUUUGAACAAUAAGUAUAUCUUGGUUCUUAUGCUUAACAAAGAGAGUAGUAUCCACUUUACCCAUGGAAAAAUCAUUUUCUAACAAGAAAUUUUUAAGCCUAUCAUACCAUGCUCUAGGUGCUUGUUUUAAUCCAUAUAAAGCUUUAAACAACUUAUAAACAUGAUUUGAAAAUUUUUCAUUUUCAAAACCAGGAGCUUGUUUUACAUACACUUCUUCCAUAAUAUAACCAUUUACAAAAGCACUUUUCACAUCCAUUUGAAAUAAAAUGAAAUCUUUAUGACAAGCAAAUGCCAACAGCAUUCUAAUUGAUUCUAGUCUAGCUACGGGUGCAAAAGUUUCAUCAAAAUCAAUUCCUUCUUCUUGGUUGUAACCUUGAGUCACUAAUCUAGCUUUAUUUCUUACAACCACACCGGAUUCAUCCAUCUUAUUUCUAAAUACCCAUUUAGUACCUAUGACUGAUGUUCCAGUUUAUGAACUAAUUUCCACUCAUUGUUUCUUUCAAAUUGAUCAUACUCCUCUUGCAUUGCCAUAAUCCAAGAUUCAUCAUUUUCCGCAUUCGCAAAGGAUUUGGGUUCAAUUUGAGAAAUAAAUGCAUUAUGCUCACAAGUAUACUUAAGCAAUGAUCUAGUUGUAACACUCGUGAGGGAUCUCCUAAAAUUACAUCCUUAGGAUGAGAAGAAACAUACCUCUACUCCUUGGGGGGUGCUUGAGAAGUACCUUCAUGUUGCUCCAUAUUUGUUUACUCUUCUUGUCCAUCCUCUUGAUUUCUUUGUGGUGCAUUUUCUUGUUUAUUCUUUGAUGAUUCUUCUUGUAAUUCUCCAUCUGCAUCAUCAUAAAUAAUUCAUUUCUCCGCAAAGAAGGGAUUAGACUCAUCAAAUAUAACAUGCAUAGAUUCUUUUACAACUAGAGUUCUUUUAUUAUAAACUCUAUAAGCUUUGCUUGAGUUUGAAUAUUCAAGAAAAAUACCAACAUCGGAUUUUGGAUCAAAUUUGCUAAGAUUAUCUUUUGUGUUCAAAAUAAAACAUUUACAUCCAAAGACUUUGAAAUAACAAAUAUUGGGUUUUCUAUCUUUCCAAAGCUUAUAUAGAGUUUUGUUAAGAUUAGGUCUAAUCAACACACGAUUUAAAACAUAACAAGCGGUGUUGAUGGCCUCGGCCCAAAAAUACUUAGGCAAAGAGUUUUCAUUCAACAUGGUCCUAGCCAUUUCUUGAAUGAAUCUAUUCUUUCUCUCAACAACUCUAUUUUGUUGUUUUCUAUCUUUCCAAAGCUCAUAUGGAGUUUUAUUAAGAUUAGGUCUAAUCAACACCCGAUUUAAAACAUAACAAGCGGUGUUGACGGCUUCGGCCCAAAAAUAUUUUGGUAAUGCAUUUUCAUUUAACAUGGUCCUAGCCAUUUCUUGAAUAGACCUAUUCUUUCUCUCAACAACUCCAUUUUGUUGUGGAGUUCUAGGUGAAGAAAAUUGAUGCUCAAUGCCUAGAUUAUUGCAAAAACUCUCAAAUGCAUGAUUUUCAAAUUCUCCUCCAUGAUCACUCCUAAUGCAUACAAUACCAUGCCCUUUUUCAUUUUGUAAUUUCUUACAAAGCAUUUUAAAUGCAUCAAGAGCAUCAUCCUUAUUGGCUAAGAAUAAUACACAUGUAUAUCUACAAUAAGCAUCCACUAUCACAAAAGCAUAAUAUUUGCCAUUUAGACCUGCUGUACCGACUUGCAUAUCUAGAUGGCCCAAAAAUAUCUAUGUGAAGAAGUUCAAGUGGUGGUUUUGAAGUAGAAAUAUGGUUUUUAUUCUUGAAAGAAGUUUUAAUUUGUUUUCCAAAUUGACAAGCUUCACAAAUCUUAUCCUUUUGAAAACUAAUUUUCGGAAGCCUUUUAACUAAAUCAUCUUUCGAAAUUUUUGAAAUCAAAUCCAUACUUGCAUGUCCUAACCUUCUAUGCCACAACCAACAAUCAUCAUGCAAUGCCGAAAAACAUUUAUCAAGAGUAGAUGCACAUUCUAUGUCAAUGAUAUAAACAUUACCACAUCUAUUUCCAACAAAUAAGGUUUUGCCAUCACAUGAGUUCUCAAUAACACAACUAAAUUUAUCAAAGAUAACUUUAUAACCUUUGUCACAUAAUUGACUAAUGCUAAUUAAGUUGUGUUUCAAGUUUUCAACCAAACAUACAUUCUCAAUUAAAGUUGAAGAGACUUUACCAACAUUUCCAAUUCCAAGAAUUUUUCCUUUUGAAUUGUCUCCAAAAGAUACGUCUCCACCAUUUUCAAUUUUGGUGAAGCUUGAGAACCAUGCAUAGUUUCCGAUCAUGUGCCUUGAACAACCGCUGUCCAAGUACCAUUUAUUCUUCUUCUUCUUCAAGCCCUACAAGAAAAAGUCUCAAGUUUUAGGUACCCAAAGCUUUUUGGGUCCUUGAGAGUUAGCAACGGUUCCUUUUGGAACCCAAAUGCACUUGACACCAUAAUAUGCAUUCCUUUUCACGGGACAUUUAAAUUUCAUGUGACCAUUUUUAUUACAAUAAUGACAUACAAUCUUAUGAUCAUUUGUGGAGGUAGCUUUAACAAAAUAAUUCUUAUAAUACUUUUGCUUCAAGUUUGGCUUAUAUCCAAGUCCUCCUUUAUCAAAAACACAUUUUUGUGAGUUAAGCAUAUUAUCCAACAUCUUUUGCCCAUUUGUAAAUUUCAAUACAAUUUCAUUUAAUUUAUUAUUUUUUUUCUUGAGCAAUUCGUUCUCAUUUUUCAACUCAUCUAUGUGUGAUUUCAAAUGCUCAUGUAAGAUGCUAGGUUUCUCAUUUGAUAAUGCAAUUUCAUCAUGCAAUGUUUUGUUUCCUACUUCUAGGCAUACAAUUCUUGCAUUUAGAGAUUCAUUUUCAUUUUUAAGCUUUGCCAUUUCCUUUUUAAGACAUACAUUCUUUUUACCAAUUUUCAUCAACUCAUUAUGCAAAUCUUGAAAAGCAUCAUAUAAUUCAUCAUAGGUAGGAUCACUUACCUCAUUGAGAUCAUCAUCCCCUCCUAUUGCCAUGAGUGCUAGGUUUGAUACUUCUUGCGAUCCUCUGCUGUACGGCCAAGGCGGAUGUACGGUACAGCAGGCUUUGCUUGAAUUUGAAUAACCAAGAAAAAUACCAACAUCGGAUUUUGGAUCAAAUUUACCAAGAUUGUCUUUUGUGUUCAAAACAAAACAUUUGCAUCCAAAAACUUUAAAAUAUCCAAUGUUGGGUUUUCUAUCUUUCCAAAGCUCAUAAGGAGUUUUGUUAAGAUUAGGUCUAAUCAACACCCGAUUUAAAACAUAACAAGCGGUGUUGACGGCUUCGGCCCAAAAAUAUUUUGGUAAUGCAUUUUCAUUUAACAUGGUCCUAGCCAUUUCUUGAAUAGACCUAUUCUUUCUCUCAACAACUCCAUUUUGUUGUGGAGUUCUAGGUGAUGAAAAUUGAUGCUCAAUGCCUAGAUUAUUGCAAAAACUCUCAAAUGCAUGAUUUUCAAAUUCUCCUCCAUGAUCACUCCUAAUGCAUACAAUACCAUGCCCUUUUUCAUUUUGUAAUUUCUUACAAAGCACUUUAAAAGCAUCAAGAGCAUCAUCCUUAUUGGCUAAGAAUAAUACCCAUGUAUAUCUAGAAUAAUCAUCUACUAUCACAAAUGCAUAAUGUUCGCCAUUUAGACUAGCAUAUCUAGAUGGCCCAAAUAAAUCUAUGUGAAGAAGUUGAAGUGGUUUUGAAGUAGAAAUAUGAUUUUUAUUUUUGAAAGAUGUUUUGAUUUGUUUUCCAAAUUGACAAGCUUCACAAAUCUUAUCCUUUUGAAAACCAAUUUUCGGAAGACCUUUAACUAAAUCAUCUUUCGAAAAUUUUGAAAUCAAAUCCAUACUUGCAUGUCCUAACCUUCUAUGCCACAACCAACAAUCAUCAUGCAAUGCCGAAAAACAUUUAUCAAGAGUAGAUGCACAUUCUAUGUCAAUGAUAUAAACAUUACCACAUCUAUUCCCAACAAAUAAGAUGUCUACCACAACAGCCAAAUGGUUUUGAUUGCGGCUACUAUGUGAUGAAGUAUAUGGAUAGUCCUUGUAUUGUUGUCCAUAACUCUUAUCAGGUUUGUACAAUUGUAUCUUAUUGGUGUAUAAUAUCUUUUCUAUAUUAGAUUAACAAAUAAGGAUUUAUAUCAAUAGGAUGAGGAUCGACUUUUUAAAAAAGGUUUUUUUUUUAAACUAUUUCAGCAUGACUUGGAUCAUGCUCGCCUUCUUCUAGCUCUUUAUUUGCUGCAAUCUCCGCUUAACAAGAUCAUGCGUCGACUUAUUCAAGAGGCGCGCAAGUUAUAGGUUGACUGUGAUGUCUUUUUUUUUUUUUUUUUGUUUACCAAACAAUUUUGUAGCAUUGUAGCAACGUUAGGGUAAAAGAUUGGCAAUUGUUUUUGUGAUGCCACCCCAUUUGUUGGUAUUUUGUAUAGCAACUAGUGUUGUUGUAGAAUCCCCAAGUUCACUAACCUGGGUUAGCUGAUGGGUGGCCCUUUUAUUUUUUGGCUGAGGGUGCUUAUUUUACAAACAUGUGUGUUCCUGCAAGAUUACAAUUACUGCGCAGGCGUACAACAACUGUGAUGGCCCUAUUAUUUUUUGUAUAUGUGAGGGUGUUUAUUUAGCAAGAAAUUGUACAUGUAAUGGUUAAUCAAUUGAUGUGUACGCUUCUGUACAAGUUUUCUGUUUUUCUUGAUUUCAGUUUUUUCUUUUUGCUUGAUUUCAGUUUUUUCUUUUUUAAGUGCAAGAGUAAAUGCUGGACAGUUUGGGAUUGUUAUUUGGCUAUUGGGAAAUGAGAAAGGACAAUGAAAAACUAAACUCAGCACCAAUUGGUUAUGUGGAAUAAAAUGAGUAUUACAGGUUUGUCUAACUAAAGGCCCCUUCGGUUUCUGAUCUUGAAAACUUUGUUCAAGAAUUUGAAAACAGGUGGGGAGAACAAUAUGUUCUUGUUAAACAAAUAAGCCUUUGGAUAGAUAGAUUUAAAGCACAUGUAAAAUAGUUUACCAUUUUUUAAAUGCUCGUUUUCUACACACCAGAGACUACAAUGUAUGUUUUUCCAAACUUAAGAAUUCUUCUAAAUUUUACGUUAAAUUAGCAUUUUUUUUCAUAAAUAAUAUAACUAAAAAUAUUUUUGGUUCUGUUCAUUUGACAAAAAAUGCCUCAUUUGACACCCAGAGGGGUUGGAGAAAAAAGUAAAAUGGCUUAAAAUUUUUAGUCUUUUACUGCUUUUUAUAUUAAAUAGUUUGAAUAGAAAAUAUUGUUUGACAAUUUAAGUGUUGAUUCUUUCAUUCUUUUAAAAUUGUUGGCCUAAAUGGCGAAGAAAUCAUUAAUUUUUAUGAUAACAAUUAAAUGAAAAAAAUGUAAUUUAGUAUAUUUAUAAUCUCAUAUUUGUUUAAAGGUAAACUUUCUACCCUAACUAAAAUCAAGCUCAAGGCAUAAAUGAUCAAUGAGAGCUAUAAAGAGGGUACUAAGUCGAAUAAUUCACUUUUCCAUACUCCUAAUGCUAAUACACUUUACUGUGUGCAUGAGUUAAUAUCUUAAAAGCUCAAGGCUUCCUUUCAUAAUCUCUAUAACAAAUUAUCAAUUUUAUUUGUAUAAAGUUGUAUAUUUUACAAGGCAAAUUAUUUAAUCAAAACGAGUAUUUAAUGAUUUAUGGACCACAUCAAGAAUAUUUCAAUUUUUUAGCUCCUUACGUUUUAUUUUUAAACGCUCAAAAAGGACCUAUACGAAAAUAAUUGAACAUACUCCUUCAAAGUAUAAUUACAGAAAUUAGUGCUCAUGGACACAAAGUUUGCGGCUUGCCUCUUCCUGUCAAGCGGCUAAUCGCUUGAAUUCACUUGCAUGCCAGAAACAUAGCGGCAACCCGCCUUCCAUACGCGGCUAGCCGCAUGUGCUACGCUUUUGAUAACCCAUUCCCGAAACAUAGCAGCUACCUCCUUCCACUAUUUUCCUCCUCAAUUUUUUAGCGGUCUCUCUUUCCUCUCACUCUCUGAAAAUUGUGCACUUCUUGCACAUUUUGUCUCCAAAUUCACUCUCCGAAACCAAUUUUCAUCCAUUUUACCUCAAUUAUCAACUCCCAAACUCUCAUUUCAUCCACUUCUUUCAAAAAUCCCAAAUCUUGAACCCUAGGUUACCACUUUUUGGAAUCUUCAAUUUCACCCACUUUCAGGAAUCUUCAUAUGCACGCACAACUGCCUUAUGGGAGAAAAUGGAACGAAAGCUUAGAAUUAAUCCAACGAAGAAUUCAAAUUACUUGGAAUCUCAAUACAAAUAUUGGUACUUGGACGCAUUUAGUAGGAAUAUUGAAUGCAAAAUCAGUGGACCAAUAAGUUGAUUGAAACAAGCAAACCCAAAACUGAGACAACUAAACCGAACCAAGAAAAUAUUUUAGAUAUUUAACCCACAUCAUUAUACUCCUUCAAAGUAUAAUUACAGAAAUUAGUGCUCAUGGACACAAAGUUUGCGGCUUGCCUCUUCCUGUCAAGCGGCUAAUCGCUUGAAUUCACUUGCAUGCCAGAAACAUAGCGGCAACCCGCCUUCCAUACGCGGCUAGCCGCAUGUACAAUAUUUUUUGUAACCCAUUCCAGAAACAUAGCGGCUACCCGCCUUCAAUAUGCGGCUAGCCGCAUGUGCUACGCUUUUGAUAACCCAUUCCCGAAACAUAGCAGCUACCUCCUUCCACUAUCUUCCUCCUCAAUUUUUUAGCUGUCUCUCUUUCCUCUCACUCUUGCUGAAAAUUGUGCACUUCUUGCACAUUUUGUCUCCAAAUUCACUCUGCGAAACCAUUUUUCAUCCAUUUUACGUCAAUUAUCAACUCCCAAACUCUCAUUUCAUCCACCUCUCUCAAAAAUCCCAAAUCUUGAACCCUAGGUUACCACUUUCUGGAAUCUUCAAUUUCACUCACUUUCAGGAAUCUUCAUAUACACGCACAGCUGCUUAUGGGAGAAAAUGGAACAAAAGCUUAGAAUUAAUCCAACGAAGAAUUCAAAUUACUUGGAAUCUCAAUACAAAUAUUGGUACUUGGACGCAUUUAGUAGGAAUAUUGAAUGCAAAAUCAGUGGACCAAUAAGUUGAUUGAAACAAGCAAACCCAAAACUGAGACAACUAAACCGAACCAAGAAAAUAUUUUAGAUACUUAACCCACAUCAUUCAAUUUUAAUCCAAUUACUGGGAACACGGGACGCAAAACCUUUGCAACUACAAUUGAAAAUACAUCAACCGAAAAAUGGAGAAACCACAACCAAAAGUAGUGACCUACUUAACCAAAAAAAUUUUCUAAAAAACCUGGUAUGCAACCUUAUUAACUGGUAAUUUGACGAGGGAAUAGGAAUAAUUAACAUAAAACUAGAGAAAACGUUAGUUCAAACGCAUUAACCAUUAAAAAACCUGAUAAGUAACCUUAUUAACUAGUAAUUUGAUGAGGGAAUAGAAAUAAUUAACGUAAAACUAGAGAAAACAUUAGUUGAAACGCAUUAACCAUUAAUAGAGAAAUUAGAACGAAAACUUGGAACAUAUUCAAAUUACUUGGAAUAUGACAUUAUAUAUUGGUACCCGACGAAGUUAGUAGGAAUACCAAACGUAAAAUUUCCGAAUUAAUAAGUUGAAACUAUGAACCAAAAAAUGAAACCUAUUAACCAAAAACUGAGACAAUCAAACCAAGAUAAAGGUUAAUGAUAUUUAACGCACGUAGUUGAAAUUUUACCGAAUUAACUGAAACCAAGAACGCAAAGCCUGUGAAACUAUAAUUGAAAUACAGCAACUAAAAAUGGAGAAAGACCAACCAAAAUUGGUUACCAACGUAACCAAAAUAAAUAUCUACAAACCAAACCUGGUACUUAACCUUCGGAACUGGAAUUUAAACGCAUUAAUUGGAAUAUUUAACGUAAAAUAUGAAUAUUAAACACAAAAUAAUUGAACCAAUAAGUUAAAAUAUAUUAACAAAAAUGUGAGAAUUAUUUACCCCAAACCGAGACAAAUCAAACCAAGAAAAAUGUUAAUGAUAUUUAACCCAUGCAAUUGAAAUUUCAGCAAAUUAACUUAAAUUCAGAACAUAAAAGCUGUGAAAUUUUAAUUGAAAUACGGCAACCACAAUUGGAGAAAGAGCAACCAAAAUUGGUGAUCCACAUAACCAAAAUAAAUUUCUAGAAACCAAACCUGGUACCAAACCUGGUACCAAACCUUAAUAAUUGGAAUCUCAACGAGUUAAUUGGAAUAUUUAACGUAAAAUUUGAGAUAAUAUUAGUUGAAAUAUAUCAAUCAUUAAGGGAGAAAGUAGAACGGAAACUUGGAAAAAAUCCAACGAAAAAUUCAAAUGACUUGGAAUCUAACAACAACUAUUGGUACUUGAUGAAUUUAGCGGAAAUAGUGAACGCAAAAUUAGUGAACCGAUAAGUUGAAACAUGUUAACCAAAAAGUGAAAAUUAUGAACCAAAACCAACACAAAUCACACCAAGAAAAUUGUUAAUGAUAUUUAACCAAAAUAUUUAAAAAUUUUCCGAAUUAACUAGAAUAAGGAACGUAAAGCCUGUGAAACUAUAAUUGAAAUACAGCAACCAAAAUUGGUUACCAACGUAACCAAAAUAAAUAUUUACAAACCAAACUUGGUACUUAACCUUUGGAACUGGAAUUUAAACGCGUUAAUUGGAAUAUUUAACAUAAAACAGGAGAAAACAUUAGCUGAAACCCCCUAACCAUUAAAAGAGAAAGUUGAACGCGAAUUGGAACGAAAAAUUCAAAAUGACUUGAAAUAUCACAACAUAUAUUGGUACCUAACAAAGUUACUAGGAAUAUUAAACGCAAAAUAAGUGAACCAAUAAGUUGAAACAUGUUAACAAAAAUGUAAGAAUUAUUUACCCCAAACCGAGACAAAUCAAACCAAGAAAAAUGUUAAUGAUCUUUAACCCAUGCAAUUGAAAUUUCGGCAAAUUAACUGAAAUCCAGAACGUAAAACCUAUGAAAUUUUAAUUGAAAUACGGGAACCACAAUUGGAGAAAUAACAACCAAAAUUGGUGAUCCACAUAACCAAAAUAAAUUUCUCGAAACCAAACCUGGUACCAAACCUUAAUAACUGAAAUCUCAACGAGUUAAUUGGAAUAUUUAACGUAAAACUUGAGAUAAUUUAGUUGAAAUAUAUGAACCAUUAAGAGAGAAAGUAGAACGAAAACUUUGAACAGAUCCAACGAAAAAUUCAAAUUACUUGGAAUCUAACAACAAAUAUUGGUACUUGAUGAAUUUAGUGGAAAUAACGAACACAAAAUUAAGGAGCCAAUAAGUUGAAAAAUAUGAACCUACUAAUGGAGAAGCAUUACCAAAACUUGGAACUGAUCAAACAAAAAAAUUAAUAUCGUUAUCCAACCUGUAAAAUUAGAAUCUUGACAAAUUAGUUGAAAUGUUAGACGUACAACUAAUGAAAUAAUAGUUGAAAUAUUUAAACCAAAUGUGGAGAAAGUUUUAUCCAUUUUUGAAAUUAAUCUAACAAGAAAUGGUUUUAUUUCGAAUUUAACCCAAAAUAUGCGUAUUUUACGAGUUUAGUGGGAAUACUCAACGUAAAACUAGUGGAUCGAAAAGUGGAGAUAAGCAAACUAAUUUGUGAGAAAGUGUAAUUAAAAUUAGGUACAUGUUAAAUUAACUUGGAAUAUCACUAAAUAUAUUGAUAUUUAACCAAAACAAAUCAAGACAUACUUAUUUUAAUUAUUUUAACUUUUAUUCAAGCAAAAUAUAAUUUUUCCCCUUAAAUAUUGUUUGUGUUCAAUAUUUACUAAAUUUCCUUGACUUUUUCCAUUUUAUUUUAUUUUUUCCACAUUAAAAAAAUUAUUUUUAAAAUUAUUAAAUGAACAACCGGUAAAAUACUGGUUGUUCAAGUUUUCUUGUUGAGGCGGCUGUAUUACAAACAGCACUGUAUUAUAGGAAGACUCACCAAAUUAUUAUUAGUUAGUAAUUCCGCAUCAGUACCAGCACAUCUGUACCAAACAUUUAAUGUACCUUCCAGAAAGAUGUCAACUUUUCUGGGAGAAAAGAAUUUACCUCUGAGAGAGUAAAGUUUGACUGUCAAAAUCGCCGCAAAAUGUGGAAAUCGGCUUUGGGAAUUUUUUCCUUAAAUUAUUGUUACUUUCUUGCAUACAAUCAUUAAAUAAUUACCCCGAAUCACAAUACCAACCACCUGAAGUCUAGGUACAUUAGUCAUGAUUUCCAGCAGGAAAUUAUUGCACCCAAUCGUGCGGUUGAAAUUAAAAAAGUGAAAAUUUCCACACUUUAGUAGCGUUUAUUUUUUUAUCUGAAAUUUAAAUAGAUUUGAAUUAUUCUAAAUUUUGAAUAGGUCUGAAUGUCUGAAUCUGAAUAAUAUAUUUAUUUUUUCGUCUGAAUUUCGAAAAAUAAGUAUUAAGUUAUUUGUUUUUUUCAACUUAAAAAGUUGAAAAUAUAUACUUUUACAUUUGUAUCCUUAUUAAAUUUGAAUGUCAAUUAAAUAAUAUAUUAAAAAUCAUAAUAUUUUAACAUUUAUAAGUAAAACUAUAUUCAAGUGAAUACAUAAUUAUUUUAAAAUUUUAAUAUAUAAAAUACCAUAAAUUUCAAAUUUUAUCGUAUAUAAUAUAAGAAAGAAAAAAUAAGGAUAUUUUUAUGUGGGGUAAAUAUUUAUAGGUGAGUUUUGAGAUAGACAUGUAUUUUUGACAUUAGCUUCCAUUAAGUAAAAAGUCAAAAAAAUUAGCUUAUUUUAUUAAGUCAAAAUUAUUUAAAAAAUCUCAUUAAAUUAUAAAAAUAAACACCUCUAAUUAACUUAAUUAAUUAAAUUAAAUCACUUUAAAUUAUUAAAUUAUAAAACAAACGCCACCUUAGUAUAGAAAUUUAGGAAUGCUAUACGCAAGCUUUUUCCACCUCGAUUCUAUAGUUUAGAUUGUCGGCCUUAAUAAUAAAUAAGUAGCACGUGGACCUCAAUUAGAUAUUUUCAGUUUCCGAUAAACCUUCUUGUUGCCUCUUGGUGGGACAUGGGAAACAGACAUCAACUCAGUUGAAGAGGAUUGGUUUUUUUUUAGUCGUGUUAAUAGUGGUAUGCUUCACUUUCUUCAUGACUCUUUGUAGUAUAUCAAAAGUUUCCCAUAAAUUUCUUUCUAAUCUCCGACUUUUACUUAUUUUGGAGUGUUUUGUUAUUUCUAAGUUUUGAAUUCUUGUAUUCAGUAAAGUCUUCACUUGUGUGUGAACAUAUAAGAUUGUGGCAAUUACUUAGAAAUUCACUAACCAAAACCAUGUGUAAGAUAUAAAUGCCAAAUUGACCCAUGAUUAAAACUCAUGCAUGUGGCCAUAUGGGUAUGUUUUGGAACCUAUUUUUCAAACUGAAGCUAGAAAAAAAAGGAGAGUUUGUGGGCCAGGGGCUGCUUCAUUACAUGUAAUUUUUCUCCAGCACUUGCAUCAUCCUUCUUGCCUUCAUUCCCUGCGUCUUUAUCACCAUUUAUUUUUCUUUUCUUUUCUUUUUUCUUUUUUUGGCAUCCCAUUAUUUGUGUGACCAAUUUGAUACAUAUAUGACAUAUGUAAUUGAAUUUAAUGUAAGCAUCAUUUGCAUAAUGAUCUUUUAAAAUAAAAGUACACAUGUUAUAACAUUAUUUUCUUAUUAUAUAGAUGACAUAAUACUUCUAAUGUAUUAUAAAUUUUCUCGUAUGUGUGAUCAAUUAUCCAUCGCUCUCCCAUUUAAUUGAUUGUGAGACUCUUUUGAAAAUUGGAUCAAACCAUGGCCAAUUACUCAAAUCAACCAAUAGCAAAAGUUUUCUAGAAUACAUUUCAAAUUUUCAAGCAUAAUUUUAUAUGUUGAAUCUGAGUACAUCUUUGGUUUUUGUUAUUUACUAUUCUCUCUUUCUUUCUUUUUUUCUUUUUUUUUUAACAUUGAUUUUUGGGUUACAAUUGACUCAACUGAUUUUAUUAGACUAACUAUUUUAAAAGUGGAAAGACAAAGGAGCUAUGAUAGCUAAUACCUAGACUCGUUGUUUUUUCAAUUUCAGUUUGGAAAUUUGAUGAUGCAUGCAUGGCAAAGUUUAGACUUAGAAGAAUCCAAAUUUAUUAUAUAUAGUUAUGUGGGGUUUGGUGUUAGCAUGUUGACCAAAUUCACCAACUUGAUUUUGCUACAUUAUUAAUUUAGCAAAAUCUAUUAAUCUUUGAUGAGCACGUAAAUACAUGUGUGUUAUCGAGGUCUUCGGGAGCCCACGACUAGUCCACUACCAAUAAUCGUGUCGUCAUUUGCAAUUGCGCAUCUCUUUGGGUGCGUUUGGUACACGUAUUGUAAUAUUAAAUAAUAUUUUUAAUAAAAUAAAAAUAUUAAAAAUUUAUUCUUUUAAAUAAAAUAAAUAAUAUUUAAAAAUAAUAUUUAUUUUUUUGGACUCACAAUUGCUUAUUCUAUUUUAUUUAAUAUUAUUUAAUUUUGAAAAAUAAAUAUAAUAAUAAGCUAUGACUAAAUAAUAUUAAAUACAAUAAAAUAAAUAUUAUUAAAAAUAAUAUUAAUUUUUUGAGACUCAUUACUGAUUAUUUCAUUUUAUUUAAAAUUAUUUAGUUUCAUGAAAGAAUAAAUAUAAUAAUAAGUCUAUGACUAUAUAACGUUAAAUAAAAUCAAAUAAAUAAUAUUAAAAAAUAUUUAUUUUUAAUAAAAUAAAUAAUAUUAAAAAUUUAUCCUUUUGAAUAAAAUAAAUAAUAUUAAUUAAAAAUUAUAUUUUAAGACUCACAGUUGAUUAUUUAUUUUAUUUAAUAUUAUUUAGUUUUCUAAGGAAUAAAUAUAAUAAUAAGUCUAUAACUAAACNNNNNNNNNNNNNNNNNNNNNNNNNNNNNNNNNNNNNNNNNNNNNNNNNNNNNNNNNNNNNNNNNNNNNNNNNNNNNNNNNNNNNNNNNNNNNNNNNNNNNNNNNNNNNNNNNNNNNNNNNNNNNNNNNNNNNNNNNNNNNNNNNNNNNNNNNNNNNNNGCUUAUCCAUGGUUAAUGAUGUCAAGGCUCGCACGGAGGAGGUGAUCUGGCUUCAAGGAUCUUCUUUGAAUUCAACAAAUAGAAAAGUCAACAAAUGGAUUGGUUGGUCGCUUCCAAAUUGGCCAUGGUGCAAGUUGAACUCAGAUGGUGCCUGUAAGGUGACUGGUGUAGCUGCUGCAGGGGGUCUGAUUCGCGAUCACAAUGGUCAUUGGGUGGCUGGCUUUGGGAUGUAUCUAGGGACUUGCUCAGUGACUAUGGCGGAAUUAUGGGGACUAUAUCAAGGAUUACUUCUUGCGUGGAAUAAAGGGAUCCGGUGGCUGUAUGCUGAAGUUGAUAGUCGUUGUGUUACUCAGCUUGUGAAGAACAACAUGGUGAAUUACAAUGAGUUCUCUCCUCUCAUUCGUGCUAUCCAAGAACUCAUCAGACGCAAUUGGCGGGUGGAGAUUACUCACGUUUACAGGGAGGCGAAUUUUGCCGCGGAUUGUUUGGCUACGUUAGCUUGUUCUCUCCCGUUAGGGCUACAUGUUUUUAACUCUCCACCUAAAGGGGUGCUCCAAUUUAUGUCUCAAGACAUUUACGGGGUAGCUUAUCCCCGCCUUGUUAUUUCUUAGCUCUUUAAAGAGCCCCUCUUAAUCAAAAAAAAAAAAUUAAACAAAAUAAAAUUUUAAACAAUUUGGACGUAUGUGCUAAAAAUUUUAAUUCUUUAGCAAGAUUUGAGCUUUUGAUAAAUAGGAGGGAGCAUAAUGUUAACAUUCAAAUAAAUGAAUCUCUACCCUCAAAUCUACUUUUUCAUUGAAUCCAAUGACCAAUAAUUGAAACCACAAAAAAAACAAAAUCAGGUGGUACCUUGCAACUGUUGCAAGAUAGUUGAGUCCCCUAUUUAUUAGUACAAGUAAAUUUUUGACUAAUCUCAACAUAUUGUAAUUUAUGUCUAUUACAACAAUUUAAUAAAAAAGUCUUGCAGAUGAUAGCUUAUUUAAAAAUUAAAAUAACUGGGCUCUACAAACUAUUCUUCAAUUUACAAUUUUGGAGUUUCUAAAGUCCCACAAAAAAUUAGUUUACUAGGUUACUUAUGGCUUGUUUGGGAUUAAGAUUAGGUAGUUGUGGCUUAAAAGUUACAAUACUAAAUUAUUUGAUAAACAUUAGCUACUAUAAUUUGAGAGUUAAAUUGAUUCAAUUUUAACUUGUAUGAUGAAAAAUAUGUUAUAUCUUUACUAAUUUUAUCAAAAUUGUUAUUUAAAAAUAAUAUUUAUUACAUAACAUUAAUUUUUAUUUUAUAAUUAUAAUUUUUUUCACAACAACUGUAUUUUAAAAGAUAGAAUACAUUAAUAAUACUCGAACAACAGAGAUUGAAACAACAAAAUAUUCAAAAAAUUAAUGAACUUUUUAACAAUUUCAGGUUUUUAUUACUGUAUAUUUGAGGAAUUAAAGUACACAUAUUCGGUAGUUGGUCAACUUAACAGCAGAGCGAAAUUUAUUUCUCUUAAAAAGUGAAAGUUGACAAAUGGAUAAAAGUAAAUGUUAAAUGCUAAGUUAUAAUAAUUGUAACAUAUAUUCAUUAUGUAAACCACACAAAUUAUAAGCCCUAUAAUUUUAUAUAGUUCACAUGAGAAAUGUAUAUUACAAUUAUUAUAAAUUAGAGGCUUCCAAAGUAAAUUUCUGAUCUGGAACCAACUGCAAUAUUUGAAAUCCAUCCCAUCAUUGCCUUCCUUGCUGUUAUCUCGAACUUUGUCAGAUUCGUACAUAUUUAUUUUUUAUUUGUAUUUUUGAUAAAUUGUACAUAUUUAGUCAACCAAUAACAAAUUAAACAAAUCAUGAUCUCAACUGGCCCCAACACGUGGGGCCAGUUGAGAAUAUUUUAGUAAUGUUUUCCGGCGAACGUUAAUGACAUCCACACGUGGGGGACGGAAAGCCAAUAACUAUCAUGCUAUUUCAUAAGAGACAGCGGGCCACGUUGUUGAGUCCUAUUCGCAGUCAGCUGUAGAAAUAUUUUCCUCAUUUAUUUUAUACGCGCAUGUGAUUUUUAUUUUUUUAUAACAUAUAUUCUUUUUUAAAUCACGAGAAAAAGACUAGCCCAUUAAAAUCAAUAAUACCAAUUACUUCAAAUAAAUUAACGAUGAUUGCAAUUUAAUUACUUAGACGUCUCCAUUAAAAUUGUAGUAAAACAUUUUUUUUUCUUUUAGAGGCUGACAGAUUUAUCUCUCAAGUUCACUACAUAUUAAAAAAGUUUAAAUUAAUUAAGUUGUUGGCCCAUUUUUUAUUGUUUGCUUUUUUUUUUUUUAAUGCUUCUUAUUGUUUGCUUAAGAAUUGAUUUAUUGUUGGAUUUUGGUGAAAAAUCACGAUUGGCAGAAAUAAAUGAGAUUCAUCAUUUAUAGCACUACCCGCACAAUUUAUCUGCCAACUUUGCUGGAUAGAAUUUUGCUAAUUAAUAAAUGAAGUGACGACUGGGGUAAAACCAGUGAGCGAAUGACGUGGGCACUGUCCGGCAACUUAUAUGCCAACUUGCUUGUGAGAAACGUGUCUCAGCAAGGAACCUUCUAUACAAUUGCUUGGCCUCCAAGCUUUCAUUCCCACUAAUUCCCAAGAUCAAACUAUGAAAAUUCCCACAAUUUUUCACUAUCACUCAAGCUUUUCUCUCAAUAUAAAAGCGGUUAAAUUUAACCAAGAAACAUAAUUUCGCAUAGAGUGAGUCCUAAUCUUUUAAUUCGUCCAGCUUACUAGGGCCAAGGCUUGAGCAUUUGAGACAGAGAUGGCGGUGAAGGUGAACCCAAGUGAUGAAGAAAUGGUCACGGCAAGGGCUGAGGCUAAGGCUGAGACAUAUUGGUUCAAGGCAAAGAAGGCAAGUGUGAUCCCAGCACGGAGGAGACUUGUGAAGCGAAUGGUGUUUGAUUGCUCGGUCCAAUUUCUGGCUUCGCUUUGCUCCAACUCCCACAAACCCAAAGUGUAAGCAAAGAUAAGGUCGUCUGUUUAUUAUAUAUCUUGAUGUGAUUUGUUGGUUCUAACCUUGUAAACUGAGUCUGUAAUUACAGAGUGUGCUUUUGUUGUUGCUCCACGGGUUACUUGUAAAUGUUUUGUCUGUAUAUUGAUGAGUCAUCUUUGAUUCUGUAUCUGAGUGGAGUUUCUCUCUUAUGAUAUUUACACUUCUUUAGAUGGAUCUGUGCUCUUUGUUGAUUGGGUGACAUGAUCAAAUCAAUCCUCAGCUAUAUACAUAAACAUACUGCAAGAGAAGUAACAUAAUUACGGACUUAAUCUUAAACACCAUAUAUGAUGAAAGAUUACAUAUUUUCCGGGAAACAGGGCCCCUUCUGUUUGUCUAAUGCAUGUUCUAACUUGUAAUUUCCACCAUUCAAAAAAAAAAAAGAAGAGACUUGUAAUUUCUCUUUAAAUGAUAAUUAUCACUAUGAUCAAUCCAACAAACGCACAAUUACCCGCCAAGGUUGAGGCUUCGGGUCAAGACUUGGGUGGGGUUCCGGCGGAAGAGAGAAUUUGGACUCUGAUCAAGCCGGUUCCAAAUCCCGAUUAAACAGCUUGGCUUUGCUCCAAUUAAAGUCUUCGACUGAAACAACCUCGCGAAGGUCGUCGGAAACUCAGAUCGGUGCUGUUGGGUGCUGAUGAUUGCAGGCGUCGGCAUCGCACAGACCAUCUGCAGAGCAAAAGCCGGCAAAAAGGUUUACUCAGUCGGAAAUUUUGAUCGGAAAAGAAGCUGUUUUCGCCGGAGAGGAGAAUUUUCCCCGGUGACAAGACCCUUUUUCUUCUUUGACUGGAAGGUGAGUCAGUCCAGUCGAUGAAAGAGAGAGAGAGAGAGAGAGAGAGAGAGAGAAAAGUUGGUUUGAAUCCAUGUAUUAAAUAAGAAUAAAUAAAGGUCUUCGGGAACUCAGGUUGGUGCUGUUGGGUGCUGAUGAUUGCAAGAGUUGGCGUCGCAUGGACCAUCUACAGAGCAAAAACCGGCAAAAACGUUUACUCCGUCGGAAAUUUUGAUCGGAAACGAAGCUGUUUUCGCCGGAGAGGAGAAUUUUUCCCCGGUGACAAGACCCUUUUUCUUCUUUGACUAGAAGGUGAGUCAGUCCAGUCGAUGAAAGAAAGGGAGAGAGAGAAAGAAAAGUUAGUUUGAAUCCAUGUAUUAAAUAAGACUAAAUAAUUGAAUUAAAAUACAGGCACUGGAGCUGGAGCACACCACGCCGUUCUUCCUUCGCAUUCCGAAGAAACGUGAUUAAUUUUUCAUUAAACAAAUGAACUUUUGAUUGUGUCAAUCGAAAACGAUGUACGGACACAGAGGAAACGAUCAUGAUAUGAUGAUGAUGAUACAUGGUCUCCCCCUAGCGAAAACGAGCAUGUAUUAUUAUAUCAAUAAUAUUAGGAAAACUAAAAGAUGGAUGAUGGACGGUUAGAUUCUUAUACAGUCAGAUUUAUUUUUCCUUUUUUUUUUUUGCCAUAUGGAAGAACACAGCUAUGGUGAUAAAAAUAUCAAUAUAAUUUUAAUUAAGGGGCGUAAUAGAUAAAUAUAAAAAUAUUAAUUAUCAUUAAAGAAGCAUAAAAAAUAAUUAAUAAACAGAAUUACGAUAAAUAAAGUUUUAAAAAUUUUAAGUAGAGAUGUAAAUUGGGUCGAAGUCACGUGAGCUUGAAUUGAACAAAGAGGAGUGCUAUUAGAACCCGUCCUUUGUCCUUUUCAAACCCCCUGUGGCUAUGUGCCGUCUUCAGUUAGUUAGUUUGUUUGUUUGCAAUAAUAGGAUCCUCUCUAAUUCUUAAUACAGGCUUUGUUCUCUUUUUACUUCAAUAAAAUCCUGUCAGAUAAGUCUUCCUCUUCAGUUUCAAACCCCUUUUAGUUUUAGUUCUGACUGUGAAUGCUGUUGCUAUAUUGGUAAGAAAAUCUACCAACAAUAUUUGUUUAUUUUUUUAAGUGUCAACGAACUUGAAGUUCAUCUGAACUAUUUUAGAAUGACAAAAGAGAAAUAUUGUAUUUUUGUUUCAAAUUAGGUAGCUUAGUGGGGAAGCGUAGUCAUGAGUAGUUGUGGUAACUGAAAAUUAAGUGGAUAAGGAGUAGAAACAAUAUAUCUUGCUCAAAUGCAAUGAGAUAAAACCUCAUCAAAUCUUGAACUUUUUAAUUGUCCCUUAAAUAAUUAUAAUAGUUGGAACAAUAUUUUUUUUUCUAGUAGAAUUUUGAUUGUCCUUUGAGAUAUUAAAUAAUUUUGUUAAUUUUAGAAGUUGAUGGUCACUUGAUGAGCAACCAAUUAAGAUUUUUUUUUUUUUUUAUAUAUAUACACACAGAACCAACGAAAGCAAUUCAUCCUUGGCACAUCCAGCUAUGCUUAUCAGACGAAAAGAAAAGACAAAAGGGAAAUAUCUUUUAGAAGAUUUGUAAAAUGAAAAUCUUUAGCAUCAUGGAAGAAAACAUCAAUUUACAAAAAUUCAGGUGUAUAUCCAUAACCCAAUUACCCAUACAGCGCAGUUGCCAGUUAUACAUCUUUAAUUAUGUUAAUGCAAAUUUUUGAUCGAUAAAAACUAAUUGAUUUUUGUUCUAGGAUUUCUUCAUUAUCAAGUUUUAUAGUACUUUUUCUCUUGAUGCAAGUGUCUCCAAUCAUGUUCUUGCUGUAGUUAAUUAUUCGGCUAAGAAAACAAAAAUUGUCGAAGGGUGUCGAGAUUGUCGACGAUAACCCUUCGACGCUCAAGUUAGUCAUUUGCACUCAAUUUUUUUAGAGAGAGAGAGAGAGAGAGAAUUUAGACGAAAGUGGACAACAUUUUUGUAUUUGUUUUAUGUCUUACCUCCAAAUGUGGGAGGUCUUAACCUUUACUAGACAACUUGAAGCAUUAAGGUAAAGCAGUUAUUAUGCAAAGUGGCAUUAUUAUUAUGACAAAUGUUUAUAAAGCUCAUUAAUAAUGGCACCUAUCAAUAUGUGUCUAUACUUAUUAAUGACAGGUAUUCUUUACAUACUAGUCCUAAUUUUUUGCUAUUACCCUUUAAUAAGCUCAGGCUUAACUUUGGCCUUUAUAUUGGUUCUUUAUUGAGAGGAUUGGUUAAGCGAUAUAUCACCUAUAAGCAAAGUCUUGUAAAGUCUUUACUUAUAGGCACUUAAUUUUUUCUAAAUAAUUGGCCUUAGUCCAUUCUUGUAAAGAAUGGCCCUACAUAAAUCUUUUUUUAAAAGUUUGCUAGUAGACUUAUUAGACAUAUUUAUAAAAUUUUGCCCCUAGGCAUGUUAUAUAAAGUGUUUGUUUGUUUGUAGGCGCAUUUUGUAGAAUUUUUUAUUUUUUGAUUUUUAAUUUUUUUGGCUUGUAUGCCCAUUUCAUAGAAUAUAUGUCUGCUUCUAAACUUAUUCCAUACAAUACAUGUUUGUUCUAUAGGCGCAUUUUAUAGAAUAUUUAUUAUAGAGAUAAAAUUUUCAUGAAAAGUAAAUUUGUUCAAAUUUUAAAUCAAAAUUAUAAAAAAAAAAUUAGACCAAAAUUAUCACCAUCUACCUAAUUUCUUUAAAAAAAGAAAAGAAAAAAACAUUGGCACUUUCUUAAACAAUUUUAAUGCAAUCAUGAAUGUGCAUAUUUUCCUCUACCAAAAAACAUUUUGAUCACUACAAGAAAAAUGACCUAUUAUGAUAGGUAAAAACUGUCAUCUUAGGGGGUAGAUGACGGUUAUCCUUACUGUCAUUAUAGCCAGCGUCAAGAAAAGAUGACAGAUAAAAUCGCGUCACAAGUUGUGAUAGAUUUUACCUAUCAUAAUUAUGUCAUACUACUUAGAAGAGGGAAAUUAUUUUUUUAUUUUAUAUUUUCAUUUUUUUAGAAAUUUUUGGAUUGUAUUUUUUUUUGGGAUAUCAAUUGUGUGUAUGACUAGUAUUUUCUAUCACAUUUCUGCUGUACGGCCAAGGCGGAUGUACGGUACAGCAGAUGCAAUGAGAUAAAACCUCAUCAAAUCUUGAACUUUUUAAUUGUCCCUUAAAUAAUUAUAAUAGUUGGAACAAUAUUUUUUUUUCUAGUAGAAUUUUGAUUGUCCUUUCAGAUACUAAAUAAUUUUGUUAAUUUUAGAAGUUGAUGGUCACUUGAUGAGCAACCAAUUAAGACUCUUUUUUUUAUAUAUAUACACAGAGCCAACGAAAAGCAAUUCAUCCUUGGCACAUCCAGCUAUGCUUAUCAGACGAAAAGAAAAGACAAAAGGGAAAUAUCUUUUAGAAGAUUUGUAAAAUGAAAAUCUUUAGCAUCAUGGAAGAAAACGUCAAUUUACAAAAAUCCAGGUGUAUAUCCAUAACCCAAUUACCCACACAGCGCAGUUGCCAGUUAUACAUCUUUAAUUAUGUUAAUGCAAAUUUUUGAUCGAUAAAAACUAAUUGAUUUUUGUUCUAGGAUUUCUUCAUUAUCAAGUUUUAUAGUACUUUUUCUCUUGAUGCAAGUGUCUCCAAUCAUGUUCUUGCUGUAGUUAAUUAUUCGGCUAAGAAAACAAAAAUUGUCGAAGGGUGUCGAGAUUGUCGACGAUAACCCUUCGACGCUCAAGUUAGUCAUUUGCACUCAAUUUUUUUAGAGAGAGAGAGAGAGAGAGAAUUUAGACGAAAGUGGACAACAUUUUUGUAUUUGUUUUAUGUCUUACCUCCAAAUGUGGGAGGUCUUAACCUUUACUAGACAACUUGAAGCAUUAAGGUAAAGCAGUUAUUAUGCAAAGUGGCAUUAUUAUUAUGACAAAUGUUUAUAAAGCUCAUUAAUAAUGGCACCUAUCAAUAUGUGUCUAUACUUAUUAAUGACAGGUAUUCUUUACAUACUAGUCCUAAUUUUUUGCUAUUACCCUUUAAUAAGCUCAGGCUUAACUUUGGCCUUUAUAUUGGUUCUUUAUUGAGAGGAUUGGUUAAGCGAUAUAUCACCUAUAAGCAAAGUCUUGUAAAGUCUUUACUUAUAGGCACUUAAUUUUUUCUAAAUAAUUGGCCUUAGUCCAUUCUUGUAAAGAAUGGCCCUACAUAAAUCUUUUUUUAAAAGUUUGCUAGUAGACUUAUUAGACAUAUUUAUAAAAUUUUGCCCCUAGGCAUGUUAUAUAAAGUGUUUGUUUGUUUGUAGGCGCAUUUUGUAGAAUUUUUUAUUUUUUGAUUUUUAAUUUUUUUGGCUUGUAUGCCCAUUUCAUAGAAUAUAUGUCUGCUUCUAAACUUAUUCCAUACAAUACAUGUUUGUUCUAUAGGCGCAUUUUAUAGAAUAUUUAUUAUAGAGAUAAAAUUUUCAUGAAAAGUAAAUUUGUUCAAAUUUUAAAUCAAAAUUAUAAAAAAAAAAUUAGACCAAAAUUAUCACCAUCUACCUAAUUUCUUUAAAAAAAGAAAAGAAAAAAACAUUGGCACUUUCUUAAACAAUUUUAAUGCAAUCAUGAAUGUGCAUAUUUUCCUCUACCAAAAAACAUUUUGAUCACUACAAGAAAAAUGACCUAUUAUGAUAGGUAAAAACUGUCAUCUUAGGGGGUAGAUGACGGUUAUCCUUACUGUCAUUAUAGCCAGCGUCAAGAAAAGAUGACAGAUAAAAUCGCGUCACAAGUUGUGAUAGAUUUUACCUAUCAUAAUUAUGUCAUACUACUUAGAAGAGGGAAAUUAUUUUUUUAUUUUAUAUUUUCAUUUUUUUAGAAAUUUUUGGAUUGUAUUUUUUUUUGGGAUAUCAAUUGUGUGUAUGACUAGUAUUUUCUAUCACAUUUCUGCUGUACGGCCAAGGCGGAUGUACGGUACAGCAGAUGCAAUGAGAUAAAACCUCAUCAAAUCUUGAACUUUUUAAUUGUCCCUUAAAUAAUUAUAAUAGUUGGAACAAUAUUUUUUUUUCUAGUAGAAUUUUGAUUGUCCUUUCAGAUACUAAAUAAUUUUGUUAAUUUUAGAAGUUGAUGGUCACUUGAUGAGCAACCAAUUAAGACUCUUUUUUUUAUAUAUAUACACAGAGCCAACGAAAAGCAAUUCAUCCUUGGCACAUCCAGCUAUGCUUAUCAGACGAAAAGAAAAGACAAAAGAAUUUUUUACUUUAUCAUUGAAAUUUUCUUCUGCUGUACGGCCAAGGCGGAUGUACGGUACAGCAGCUAUGUUGUUAAUUGGUAUAAAUUUUUGAAUGGUACAAAAGGCUUGAGAUUCAAACCAUGCUCAUAUGAGUGCGGAGAGUGGAAAUUGAGUAGAAACCACAAUACUAUUGAUAUUCUUAGAGGAUCUUUCCAUGUGACAUUCAUUCAAAAUUGUAACUAAGAGCAAAAUGUUUAACGAUUUUUAAUGUAUUGUACACAUAUGUAUCAAUCAAUAUCUUGUAAGAUCGAAAAAUUGAUAACAUUCCCUCAAGACAAAUGAAAAUGGAAAUGAACUAGUCAAUACCUGCAUUACCCAAAAGAGAAACAAGGGAUGGGGAACUCUGAUGUAAUAAUAAAUUAUCUGCUCGGUGCAAAAACAGCCACUAGAAACACACAUUGGUUGGAUGAUAUUGACAUUAUUUCCAACACACACAAUAGAAACAAUACCAAUUGCCCACCAAGUGCAUGACUCAAUGUGCGCCCAGACCUGACACCACUUCCUGCACAUGCGACUCGGCCCACAAUCACCACUAAUUUCAACGAAUUAGUGAAUUUAACCAAUGAAAUUGAAAAAAAAAGACUUUGCAUCACAGUGAACGAAUUUGAGAAUUAUCUAUAUAUAUAGUUCCAUGCAUCCACAAAAAAGUGAAAAAAAAAAUUAGUUAUUAGAAAACCCCAAAGAUAAAGCAGCCUAGACAAUAUCCCAACACCCAUCACGAUUAAAUUGGCAGGGAUCUUUACAGUCUAAAUCAAAUUAAUUUAACAAUAAAACUAUAAUAAUUAAAUUCCAAAAAAAUCAAAUAAAUGUUUAAAAUUCCAUAAAUAAAGAAACAUAGAAGACCAAUCAAAUAGAUCCAAAUUUAACAAGAGCACACCUAGGAUUUUCAAGUUUUACACGUACAGGGUUCAAAUUUGACAAGAAAACAUCUAGGUUUUACAAGAUUUAGGUGUGUAGGGUUCGAAUUUGACAAGAACACAUCUAGGGUUUUUAAGUUUACAUAUAUAGGGUUCGAGUUUGACAAGAACAUUAAAAUUGAAAUGGAACACAACACUAGAAAUAUUAUUUACCUGUAUUGAUCGAACGGUUACAAUAGUGGGUGAGCGUGGGCUCUCAGUUAGGGUAUUGAAAUUCAAUAGUAGAAGCACAUGCGUUUGGUGGGUAUUCCAUAUAGUUCUCGGUGAGAGCCAAAUUGAUAGUCAAAUACAAGAGAAUGGCGGCAGUGGUUCAGUGCCCAUGCAAGGAUUUCGGGUGAAAAGGGCUUUGUGAGUGUGAGAUUGACGAGAGUGACUGAGCGAGAGACGAGAGUGAGUGAGAGUGCCGACACUUAGGGAAAAAAAAUUCGAUUAGUGAAAACUGAAGAGGGUUUUGUUUUUAUUUAGCUUCAAUCUAAACGGUGUCGUUUCUUGUCCAAAGAGAAACUUUUAAUCCAAACGGUACCGUUUAUUCUUUAUUUAUUUUUUUCAUUCAUUUUAAAAUUUUCAGUCAACCUUGUGAAAUAAAGUCAAAAUAAAAAAGCUACUUGAUGAUCUAAAUUAUAUCACAAACUUGUCAUUACUUCUUGAUAACCAAAUAAUUUAUCAUCAGUCUAUCAUAAGUGCUUGAUAGAUGAAAUUUCUAUCACAAGUAUGUCAUAAAUGAAUGAUAGAAAAAAAAAUUAUCAUCCAUCUAUCGUAGUAGCUCUGCAGACCAAAAACUGUCACACAGAGGACUGUCAUGGUAGGUCAUUUUUCUUGUAGUGGAUCUUUUCAAAUUCGAUUUAAUUAAUUCAAACGGUCCUUGUCACAAUCAAUCAAUUACUAUGAUCUCUCACUUCAUGUGAUUGUUCAAACACUCUUUCGAUUUCAACUGUUCUUUCCAUUCGAAGACGAAUUAAAAAUAUAUAUUCAUAGGCUGAUAUUUAAUUAAGGCCAAUAUAGGGAAGUUUUAUAACAAGUUCUUGGAAAUUAUAUCCCUGGCCUUGUCAGUAAUUGGCCAAAAUGGAUGAAAACACCAUUUUUGGAGAAUGGAUUUAGUUUAUUUCGACUCCCACAAAGCAUUUGCUGCCUUGAAUUUCCCAUCAACUCCAGCAUGCAUGCAUGAUCUUAUUCUAUACAUAUUGAUCUCUAUCAACAUGUCAACUACAAUGAUUAAUGGUUCUCCCUUUCAAUUUCUUUGAAUCCCUUUAGCUGGAAUUGAAAUUUUUGAGUCCUUUUGAAGAGCAAAACAUUUUGCAGGUAAUUAGACUUGGUAUUGAAGGAUUUCACCAAAUUCGCACUUUUGUCAAUUUUAGCUCGAACUUUUGUCAAAUUCGAACUUUUGUCGAAUUUGACAGGUAAUUUAUGCAUGCGACUGGUCUUUGGAAUGAGUCAAUGGGAGGCAAAAUUGGUUGAGUAGCCCCCCUUUCACAAGCAUGCACGCACGGUUGGAGACUUGACCAAAUAAACAAUGUAAUUGAGUUGAUUAUGCUGACUAUACGCAGCUUUUGUUGUCUAAUUUGAUGAUGCUAGAGUCCCUUUAGAUAAGGUUUCUAGAUCUUAGUCGAUUGCAUUAAUUUUUUCUCAUAAACAAAUUAAUAAUUGGGUUUAAUUAGAUUCUUGUUCAGUUUUUCUUAAAAACUAAAAUUAGGUUCAAAUAAGAUUAUGUAAUAAAUUGCAAAGGGAAUGGGACAAGACAAUUAAUUUAUUAAUAAUUAAUGUAUUAGCUUACGUAGCCAUCGAACCAGUUCUAACUAAAUCAUAUUUAAUUAAUUAGAUCAUAAAUACUUUUGAUUUAAGUGUUAUGUAUUGGAUUUGCACAUGAUGUUCAUCUAAUAAACUACUACCAAAUCUAUGUUUCUUUUUCUAAUUUAUGAUGAUGAUUGUUUGUGGCUAUACACUGCUUCUUUGGGCUUUCUACUCACCUUCGAUUCCGGAUGAUGACGCAAGUAAAGCCUUAGCCUAGUGGUUGGCUUGUACUCUUUACAAAGUUGAGAGGCAACAAGUUUAAGUCCUUAAUUAAUAACAACUCAAAAUAUUUUUUCUGCCACAAUUGUGGAUAGAGCGUAUAUCUCCCUAUUUAUUAGUAAAAGUAAAUUUCCAACUAAUCUUAACGCAUUGUAAUUUAUGUAUAUUACAAUAGUUUAAUGAAAAAAAAAAGGCUUACGGAUGAUAGCCUAUUUAAAACUUAUAGCAACUGAACUCCACAAAUAAUACUUCAAUUUACAAGUUUGGAGUUAUCCAAAUUCCCGGGGAGACUAGUUCACUAGGUUACUAAAUGGGAAAUUUACACCAAUAACCAUAAAUUUUUUGAUAUUUUCACAAUUAAUCCUCUCAACUUUUUUCUAUCAACAUUAGCCAAACACAUUCUUUUCUCUCAAAAUUACCCUUCUUUACAAACCAAAAGCAACUUUCUUUCUCCCAUUUCGUUAAACCAAAGACAGCUUUCCACUCUUGAAUCAUCAACGGUGAUGGCAAAAGGAAACGAUAAAAGUGAAAUCCAAUCAUAAUUUAUUCGAAUCCAACACUAAUCGGUAUCACAUAGUGGUAUGAGUAAUUUUCUGAUAUUACUCAAGAGUUUCAGUGAACUGCGAGUCGUGGGUGAAUCUGGCGACAUGCACCUCUCGAGCAAGUUCAGAAAAUAACUCAUAUCACUAUGUGAUGCCGAUUAGUGUUGGAUCCGGAUAGAUUAUGAUCGGAUUUCACUUUUAUCGUUGCCUUUUGCCGUCGCCGUUGAUGAUUCAAGAGUGGAAAGCUGGCUUUGGUUUGACGAAAUGGGAGAAAGAAAGUUGCUUUUGGUUUGUAAAGAAGAGUAAUUUGGGGAGAAAAGUGUGUUUGGCUAAUGUUGAUAGAAAAAAAUUAGAGGGUUAAUUGUGAAAAUAACAAAAAUUUUAUAGUUAUUUUUAUAAAUUUUCCUUACUAAAUAGUACUGGAACAGUGGAGAUUGUAACUACAAAAUAUUCAACAAAUUCAUUAAUUCUUUUUAACUAUUUCAGAUUUUUAUGUUGUAUAUUACCGUUGAGAUAUUGGUCAAAUUAACUGCGGUAAAAAAAUUAUUUCUUUUUAAAUUAAUGUUAAGUUACACGCAUAUAAUUUACAAUCAUUUCAUAUAAAUAGUAAAUGAGCCCACUUCUCUUUAAUAGUAAAAGUUGACAAACGAGUAAAAGUAAAUUCUCGUCUAGAAAGAGCCGCAAUAUUUGAAAUGCAUCCUGCCCAUUGCCCGCUCCUUUUAGGUCGAACUUUUGUCAAAUUCGUACAUAUUUAUUUUUUUAAUCAUUUAACAAUAACAAAUUAAGCAAAUCACGAUCUCAACGGCCCCCAAGAGUGAAGUGUUGUUCAGGCAAGAAUUAAUGGCAUCCACACGUGGGGGCUGGGAAGCCAUUAAUUAUCAUGCUAUUUCAUAACGGACAGCGGCCACGUUGUUGAGUUCUAUUCGCAAUCAACUGUAGAAAUAUUUUAUUCGUGCAUGUGAUUUUUAUUUUUCAUAACAUAUUUUCUUUUUUCAAAUUCAUGAGAAGAGACUCGCCCAUUAAAAUCAAUAAUUCCAAUUACUUCGAAUAAAUUAACAAUGAUUACAAAUUAAUUACUUAGACGUCUUCAUUCAAAUCGUAGUAAAACAUUUUUUUUUUCUUUUAUAGGCUGACAGAUUUAUCUCUCAAGUUCUCCACAUAUAAAAAAGGUACUAAUUGAUUAAGUUGUUGGUCCAUUUCUUAUUGUUUGCUUAAGAAUCGAUUUAUUGUUGGAUUUUGGUGAAAAUUCAUGAUUAGCACAAAUAAAUGAUAUUCAUCAUUUAUAGCACUACCCCAUACAAUUUGUGUGCCGACUUUGCCAGAUGGAAUUUUUUUUAAUUAAUUAAUGAACUAAUUAGAGGUUACAUUUGAAGUGCCGACUUGUGGAAGAGAGUGACGUGGGCACCGCAAAGAGACAAAAAAUGGAUGACGUCAGCAAGGAAUCUUCUAUACAAUUGCUUGCCAUUCAAGCUUUCAUUCCCACUAAUUCCCAAGAUCAAACUAUGAAAAUUCCCACAAUUUUUCACUGUCACUCAAGCUUUUCUCUCAAUAUAAAAGCAGUAGACUAAACCAAGAAACAUAAUUUCGCAUAGAGUGAGUCCUAAUCUUUUAAUUCGUCCAGCUUACUAGCUAGGGCCAAGGCUUGAGCAUUUGAGACAGAGAUGGCGGUGAGGGUGAACCCAAGGGAUGAAGAAAUGGUCACGGCAAGGGCUGAGGCUAAGGCUGAGGAUGAGACAUAUUGGUUCAAGGCAAAGAAGGCGAGUGUGAUCCCAGCACGGAGGAGACUUGUGAAGCGAAUGGUGUUUGAUUGCUUGGUCCAAUUUCUGGCUUCGCUCUGCUCCAACUCUCACAAACCCAAAGUGUAAGCAAAGAUAAGGUCAUCUGUUUAUUAUAUAUCUUGAUGUAAUUUGUUGGUUCUAACCUUGUAAACUGAGUCUUGAAUUACAGAGUGUGCUUUUGUUGUUGCUCCACGGGUUACUUGUAAAUGUUUUGUCUGUAAUUUUAAUUAACUAUUUGGAAUAUUGAUGAGUCAUCUUUGAUUCUGUAUCUGUGAGUGGAGUUUCUCUCUUAUGAUAUUUACACUUCUUUAGAUGGAUCUGUGCUCUUUAUCGAUUGGGUGACAUGAUCAAAUCAAUCCUCAGCUAUAUACAUAAACAUACUGCAAGAGAAGUAACAUAAUUACGGACUUAAUCUUAAACACCAUAUAUGAUGAAAGAUUACAUAUUUUCCGGGAAACAGGGCCCCUUCUGUUUGUCUAAUGCAUGUUCUAACUUGUAAUUUCCACCAUUAAAAAAAAAAAAAAAAAAGAGACUUGUAAUUUCUCUUUAACUGAUAGUUAUCACAAUGAUCAAUCCAGCAAACGAAAAAUUACCCGCCAUGGUUGAGGCUUCGGGUCAAGACUUGGGUCGGGCUCCGGUGGAAGAGAGAAUUUGGACUCUGAUCAAGCCGGUUCCAAAUCCCGAUUAAACCGCUUGGCUUUGCUCCAAUUAAAGUCGUCGACUGAAACAACCUCGCGAAGGUCUUCGGAAUCUCAGAUCGGUGCUGUUGGGUGCUGAUGAUUGCAGGCGUCGGCAUCGCACAGACCAUCUGCAGAGCAAAAGCCGGCAAAAAGGUUUACUCAGUCGGAAAUUUUGAUCGGAAAAGAAGCUGUUUUCGCCGGAGAGGAGAAUUUUCCCCGGUGACAAGACCCUUUUUCUUCUUUGACUGGAAGGUGAGUCAGUCCAGUCGAUGAAAGAGAGAGAGAGAGAGAGAGAGAGAGAGAGAAAAGUUGGUUUGAAUCCAUGUAUUAAAUAAGACUAAAUAAUUGAAAAUAAAUACAGGCACUGGAGCUGGAGCACAUCACGCCGUUCUUUCUUUCGCAUUCCGAAGAAACGUGAUUAAUUUUUCAUUAAACAAAUGAACUUUUGAUUGUGUCAAUCGAAAACGAUGUACGGACACAGAGGAAACGAUCAUGAUGAUGAUGAUGAUACAUGGUCUCCCCCUAAGCGAAACGAACAUGUAUUAUUAUAUCAAUAAUAUUAGGAAAACUAAAAGAUGGAUGAUGGACGGUUAGAUUGGAAGAACAAGCACGGCUAUGGUGAUAAAAAUAUCACCAUAAAUUUAAUUAGGGGGCGUGAUAAAUAAAUAUAAAAAUAUUAAUUAUCAUUAAAGAAGCAUAAAAAAUAAUUAAUAUAUAGAAUUACGAUAAAUAAAGUUUUAAAAAUUUCAACGAAGUCACGUGAGAAAAAGGGUAGUGCUAUUUGAGAAUGACAAAAGAAAAAUAUUGUAUUUUUGUUUCAAAUUAGGUAGCUUAGUGGGGGAAGCUUAGCCAUGAGCAGUUGUGGUAACUGAAAAUUGAGUGGAAAAGGAGUAGAAACAAUAUAUAUUGCUGAAAUGCAAUAUAAUAAAGCCUCAUCAAAUCUUGAACUUUUUAAUUGUCACUUAGAUAACUAUAAAUAGGUGGAACAACAAUUUUUUUUUUUUCUAGUAGAAUUUUGAUUGUCCUUUCAGAUACUAAAUAAUUUUGUUAAUUUUAGAAGUUGAUGGUCACUUGAUGAGCAACCAAUUAAGACUCUUUUUUUUAUAUAUAUACACAGAGCCAACGAAAAGCAAUUCAUCCUUGGCACAUCCAGCUAUGCUUAUCAGACAAAAGGGAAAUGUCUUUUACUAGAUUUCUAAAAUGAAAAUCUUUAGCAUCAUGGAAGAAAACGUCAAUUUACAAAAAUCCAGGUGUAUAUCCAUAACCCAAUUACCCACACAGCGCAGUUGCCAGUUAUACAUCUUUAAUUAUGUUGAUGCAAAUUGAUUUUUGUUCUAGAAUUUUGUUGGGCCUUUUUUUUUUUUGUGAGCUUUUUUGCUUUUUAUGAUUUGGUAUAAUAAAUUAGUUGGGCGAUGAUCUCUCUUAACGAGAUUUGAAAUAAUAAAUUUAAUAAUUAAGAGUUUUGUUGGUUCUCACCCUUAGGUAAUUUACAUAUAAUACUUUUAAAGUAUUUAGGUAAUUCUUAUAGAGGUUGAAGUUACGUCAUUUUAUGUAGAAAAUUUUGUAGGGCCUUUUUUCUGAGUUUUUUUGCUUUUUAUAAUUUGGUAUAAUAAAUUAGGUGUAAAACUAUGUUACAACAGUGGUAUGGUAUCAUUGUUGCAACUAACCAUUGUAUCUAUAGUUGUACAGUUGCAUUUACAAGAUCCAAUGACUGAAAGUAACAGUAAUACCGUACCACUGUUACAACAUAACUGGACCCAUAAAUUAGUUGGGCAAUGAUCUCUCUUGACGAGAUUUGAAAUAAUAAAUUCAACAAUUAAUAAGUACGUAAUACCGACUCGAUACAAAACCUCCAUAUGAUAUGUCCUUGGAUUUCCUUUAGUAAUAUUUAAAAAUAUUUAUACCACCGUGGAAGGUUAUGAUGAUCUUGGCAAGCGGAAAUGACCAAAAGACCAGAUAAGGAUGUGCUAACCAUUAUUCAUAUAACACGUUUUUUGUUUUUCUUUCGGACCCUUCCCUAAAAGUAAUGAGGGUGAGUGGUUAGUGAUUUGCUAGUAUCGCUAAUCUGAUUUUAUUCGAGGUAAUUAAAAUUACACGAACAUCACAUCGAAUUGAAUUCAACAGGGACUAGCUAGUGAGCACAUGUAUGUUUUGAACUUUUGAUACGCCACUUGCUUUGUUAACGUCUACUAUGCCCUAACUAUACGUGUCAACAAAUUACGGACUGCUUCGUCCCGAAGUUACACCCAGAACAGAUCAUCUCCAAUCUCUCUAUUACACAUAAAAAGCAAACAUUUGGCAAAUUCUUAUUACCAUAUUGAAACUCAAAAAACAAGUUAGAGAGAGAGAGAGAGAGAGAGAGAGAUCCAUUGAGUUGGCGAAGAAAUUUAAAAUGAGCAACGAGGCAGGCAGGGUUAAUAAAGUGCAACCAGCACAAGAAGAAACCGGAAAGGCCAAGAUACAGAGUGUUGCCACUGUAAUUCCAGCACCAAAGAAGUUAGUGAAGACAAUGGUGUUUGAAUCAAUAGUCCAAUCUUGUUCUUCACUUUGCUCUUCUUCCUCUAGCUUCAACACUAAAAAAAAUGCCAAGAAGAGUAGGUAUGUGUCCCCAUAUACUCCAUAGCUAGCUAAAAUUGCCAAAGUUUUCCUAUGGAGGGUGAAGGGUGAUUUUAUAAUAUACUGCUAAUGUUCUUACAUAUUAAUUUGUUGUUGUAUCAAUCACAUAUUCCUUUCAAAUCUUGUCGUCGUCGUCGUCGUCGAUAUUCUGGAGGCGACGGCGGCAGCGGCGGCGUAUAUAUUAUGUUUAAUUUAUUAUGCUACUACUUGUUGUGACAAGUGAUGUGAUGGUACUGAAAAUUUCGGAGUUGGGUAAGUACGGAUCAUGUAACUUACAGACCCAGUGGCUGCCAGCUCUCAUUGCUUGUAUGUAUUUCAAUGCUUUUUCUCUCCCCUCAGGACACAUGGCUGCCAACCAUUGGGUAUGUAUGUUACAUAAUCCGUAAGAUAGCAAGCUCCAUUUCCUGAAUUUCAUGUUUAUAAAAUCACUGUAUGUUUUAUUGGACCACGACGUAGCUGGGGAUAUAACAGUAAUUUGAUUCUAUGCAUUCUUGCCUCUACACAAAGCUGUUUGCCGGUAGUUUCCAAUAUGUGCAAGUGCAUGCGUGCAUUUACAUUACGGGUUCCUUUAAUGAGAACGUGUCGGUCUCUAAUUUCGUGUUCGAUCUAUGAAGAUGACAAGAAAUUGUUAUCCUCCCACUCUACUUUACUCAAACAUGUACAUGUAUGUAAUCUUGUGCAAUGAUGACCAUGUAGAUUCUAAUAUAAUGUUUCUUAAUUCCUAGCUUUAUGUAAUCAUGGUGGGAUCAAUGAAUAGCGGAUGAUGAACAUGUAUGAAAUCUUGUACAAUGAUGAACAUGUAGAUUUUAAUCUAAUGCCUAUUAAUUCCCAGCUUUAUGUAAUCAUGGUGGGAUCAAUGAAUAACGGAUGGACACGACUUUUGAGACAUGUAGGACCAAAUUCAUUAAUCGAACGACAGUUCUAUAUGUAGCACAAAAUCUUUUAUGUGAAACAAAUCUUGGCCUUGCCAGAAGAAGAAACAAAACCUAGAUAUUAACAAGAAGUUCCUCUAACAUAUUCCCCACCUAAUUAACUCCAAAUGGAAACUUGGAAGCAUGUGAUCAUCUUCAAAUGGAGCAUAAUUACUAAUUAAAGCUGCAACACAUGGAAGCUAAGACGGAGGGAGUAAAAAAAGUGCUUUAAUAUUCUAAGCUCAAUUCUGAAAAAUGCGUGUGAAAUCUGCAAUUGCUGUCACUAUCGGUGAAAUGGGCAAGGCGAAAAUUGGCAGUUUACAUAUAAGGCAAUCAAUAUAAAACUGUAAUUGGCUACACACUAAUUAAUUCAAUAAAAAGAACAAUAUGCUUCUACUCGUUAAUUUGCCAUUAAUGACAAUCUCGUAACCAUUUAUUCUGGCACUUAUAAUGAACAUUAAGUUGCAUGUUUAUAAUAAAUAUAGGAAUAUGUAGCAGCAAUUUAGAAAUAUUUUUAUCCUGAGAAGGAGAUUAUGUUUAUUUGCCAUACCCCCGGAAAGUAAGGGAGUAAAGAAGCUGAAAAGGAAAUCUUGAUUCUUGUGGGGGUAAUUUGUCACUUCCCAACUGCUCCCCUUUUACUGGUAACUCACUCAUGACUGAUUGGACCGACCAAGGAAAAGUUACAUGAGAGAAAGGAGAGGAAAAAUAGAGAAGGCAAAAUCCAGAUGUGUCACUCGUAAUGUUGGUGGAUUUUCGAAUAUGGAGGCAAAUAACAUUAAGAGAAUUUGAUAGGAUUUGAGACGUGUUUGUACACUUUCUUUUAAGGUUUUAUUUAUCCUCACCAAUCUUGAUUUGUUAUAGAGUUUUAAUGGUAAAUUACCUCCAAGAUAUAACAAAUCCUGAAUACAAUCUCUAACAAAUAAGAUUGUAUUUCAAGAACACAUAUGAAAUCUGUAAUUUUCUGGUCUUUUAAUGUAAAGUGUGUGUCUAUUUUAAUGAAGAAGAUGUUUAUUUGAAAUAAUACAACCAUUAGAAAUGAUACUUCUUUAAAGACACUCUUUUGGUUUGAAAUUUGUAUCCAUUCACAAUUGAAUUUUUCAAGUCUGCUAACCGUUUUUUCAGUUGACGCGAAAACACACUCUUUGGAAGAAAACGGUUAGCUGUUUUCUCAAUAACGAUGAGCCGUUUUAUUCCAGAAUAUCAAAAUAAGUUGCUCUCUGGAAAUAAACGGUUAGUCGUUUUAUCCAAACGGUUAGCCGUUUUCUGUAGAACAUAAAACACGCUCUCUGGACGAAAACGAUUAGCCGCUUUCUCAGAAAACGACAAGCCAUUUUUUGCAGAAUCCACAACUACUCUCUGGACAAAAAUGGCUAGCCGUUUUAUCUAAAACGGUUAACCGUUUUCUUUCUAAAUUUCAAAUCACAAAAUAUUAGAAUCUCACUUACAUGUAAUACAUAAAAUACCCACAUCAUAAAUUAAUAAAUCAACUUAAUAAUUAUAACCCUUAUCCACGUGGGUCUAAAACAUUUAAUUUAUAUCUGCGGCUGAAGUUUGUACGCUGCUGCAUUUAGUUCCAGCCCUGGUUUAACAGGCUUGGUGCAACACAAAACUCCAAUGGCAUACUAUCAUAGAAUGAAAAAGAAGUAAAAAAGUGGAGCUCCGACCAGGUCACGUGGAUAUAAGACAAAUCAAAUGGUCGAAAGCUCAUCAAUUAAUAACAUAUCCGCAGGCUGCUAACGUGUGACAAGGCACCGAUUAAUUAGUGCUUUCCAUCUCAUCAUUUGACCAUCUUUUUACCCGCUUCUCUCAAAAGGCAAAUAAACUUUGAUCUCCAAAAUGCAUGAUGCAUCGCAUUCAGUUGGCUUUAAUUUCAUUAUUACACGCCGUUCCAUCGUUUUCAAAUCAACUUUCUAGUUUCAAAGAAUCUUCAGGUCAUUUUAUUUCUGCAAGAAGAGAAAUUGAAGGUUAGAAUGAACUUUUAUAAUAUUUAUCUCCCUUAUUAAAAUCAAUUUUUAGCAAAGAUACUGCAGUGUGUUACCCUACAGAUCAGAAAAAUAAUCUCUUCAAAUAUGCAUAAUCUUUUGGUUUGCGUCGAAAGGUAAAGAUACAAUCACAACAAAGGAAAUGAAGCACCCUUUAGUUCGUGAAAAAACUGGUGACUAGAAAAGGAAAUUACUCCAUAAAAUGGGACCGGCCGCAAUAUGAAUAGUAAGAUGAUGCAUGCAAAGAUCUUCCAAUUGGAAUCUAGCUUUAUUUGUAUUCUAAACGACAAAAUUAAUUAAUUCAUUUUGGACCAAAAUUUUUGGUGACGUUGCUAUUGGUGACGUAAUGUUUAUGAAGAUCAAGGGUUCAAUUUUGCGGGAUCAAAUUGUAACAUAAAAUCUUUGCCGUUCCAUAAAAAUAUAAAUUUUAAUCACUGACCAAAAAGUGGCCUAUAGAUCAAGACGAAUAUCCUGUGGCAUAUUUUUAAAAUGACUUUUUUGUGUAAUAUAUGAAGACAUCAUGUAUACCACUCAAGGGGGGGGAAAAUGAGACAUCUUGAAUUUAUUUAAGCUUGAGCAAUAAUGGGUACGAUUCAGAAGCUGUAACCUUCUGGCUUUGAUGUUGCUUGUCGCGUAUUAUCGUCCUUGCAACGAAAGAUAAAAGGCAUAUAAUAAUUUAAAUUGAACGAAUUACAGUACGAUCGUGAAGAAAAGGAAAUCAUUUAUUUUUUCAACAAAGCGCCGGUCGGCGGCCUUUUUAUUAAACAGAUCACGCGAAGCCUUUUUUUUUUUUUAACUAAAUUAAAAAGUACGUAAAAAAAUUGAAAUAUUAAAAUUAGAAGGAUUUAUUUAAAAAAAUUUUACGGCCCGUCCAAGCCCACGAGUGGCUUCGCCAUCGGCUGUAAAAUUCUAAGAGGAUUUGAUGAGAUUGAUAACUUUCUAUUGUACUUUAAUUUUGAGAUUUACUUUUUAUUCUUCUAUAAUUUUUAUAUUCCCCCAUUCUUGAGUAUCAUAAAAUUUAUAGCAGAUAAGUGACAGAAAUUAUCGAAAAACUGUAGGGAGAAAAGUAAAAACUACAUAAGAAUGAAAUUACUCUAUAUGUUCUCAAAAUUUUUGGUAGAAAAAUUUCAUGUGGCGAAAUUUGAUUAAAAUGCUAAAUUUAACCUUGUUCAGAAGUUUACGAAUUACAUGCAUGGUUUGGGUUUAAUUUAUUCCGAUCCUCUAGAAUUAAAUUAUAUAUGUGCUUAAAAUUCUGUUAAGCGUCAAUUUUAAUUCCCUGAAAAUUAACCAGCUGGUCGACGCGACGGUGACUUGACUUCCAAAGAUCGUAUGAGAAAAAAGUCCCUCGGCCUGGUCUGGGGGUGGCGUGGCAGGCUGCAAGUAUAGAUAAUAACAAAAAUCUUUAUCCAAAUCAAUGUGGGUCUCAAACGUUGAUUUUACUUGCAUGCAGAUGCCGAUGGUGAUCACGAACUUGUCCACUGCUCCACUUGUUUUUGUACGUGGCACCCAAAUGAUCAUGCCCUUUGACGUUUUUCUCUCCUUUCAUCGGCCGGCAAUACUUUUUUAAUAAUCUCAAGUCUCAACUUCAUUAAUGAAGUUGUCUAAUUGUUAUCAAGAAUGAGAAGUGCGACGCUGAUAAUCACACCCACAAUUGAAUUAUGUGGACUUGACUAGCUUACAGAAUCUGUAAGCUACAGACUGCAGCAUCAGCCGUUGGAUGUGGAGUGAGAAACUAAACAAUAGAAGAUCGGAUGGUGGGAUGACGGGAGAUGUUUGUUACAGAAUCUGUACCAUAGACAGGUCCGAAUUAUGUAUGUUUGUGCUCACUUUGGAUUAAUUAUGGGCAAUGAAAGUCAUGCACCGACCCUUCGGCACAGCUGGUGCAUAGUGGCUUAUCCAAGGCGAAAUGGCCAAUCACAUCACAUCUCAUCUAGCCAAGUUCACAAUUAACUAAACAAAAGAAAAUCGGAUGGAGGGAUGACGGGAGAUGUUUGUUACAGAAUCUGUACCAUAGACAGGUCCGAAUUAUGUAUGUUUGUGCUCACUUUGGAUUAAUUAUGGGCAAUGAAAGUCAUGCACCGACCCUUCGGCACAGCUGGUGCAUAGUGGCUUAUCCAAGGCGAAAUGGCCAAUCACAUCACAUCUCAUCUAGCCAAGUUCACAAUUGUUUGUAGGACCUGUCCUUAGUCAUGUCCUUGUUUGUAUCAUUGUAUGUAAUUCUGUGAGUUGAUAACUUGAUGUGAUGUACUGCACGCCUUGCAGGCUACAGCUGGUGCAUGGCCUACGUACCAACUUUUUGCAACAAGAACAGACAUUCAGUAGACAAAUAGACAUAUUUAUUUAUAGGAAAAUUAUUAAUGGUAUACUUUAUAGUUGAUCUGUUUUAAAAAAAUGUUAUAAUAUUUUAAGGUGUAUCAAUCAUCCACUAUAAAUUGAUAAAAUUAUCUGACAACCAUCAAACCGUUAGCUGCUGUUUGAAAGUUAAUAGAAUUAUAGUGAAUUGAUGAUUUUACUCUUGAAACUUAACUUAAAGUAAAGAAAAAUUAUCACUUGUAUUAUAUGAAAAGACCAAAUUACUCCUCUGGCGUCAUCUUAUUUAAACGACAAGUAAUUGUUUAAUGGACGGCAGAUACAUUUUAUCAACUUAUGGUGGACGAUUAAUACACCCUUAAAGUAUUGUAAUAUUUUUAAUAAUAGAACAAUUAUAGGAUAUACGAAUGAUAAUUUCUCUUAUUUAUAUUCAGCAAGAUUUCAUCUUACUGAUUUAUUAUUACAAUGACAUGCUUAAUUUUAUAUUUAUAUAUACAUAACACUAUUCUUAUUAAUUUCUUUCUCCACUUACUGUCACUAUUCUAAUAGUAACAACUUAGUUCGUGAUUUUAACAGUUUCAUCUAGCGCUCCACUUACUGUCACUAUUCGGCUCUGUCUCUUUGCUUUCUACGGACAAAAGCCCAAGAGUAGAACAAAAGACGGCUAAUGAAGGAGACAAAUUGAUAAAUUCCCCAACUUAGGUUUGCCGACCCGUUCCGCCCAGGGCUUUGAAUUGGAGGAUUUCUAAUCAGCAAUUAAAUGAAACAUUGUCAUACAUUUUAUUAUUAUUAUUAUUAUUAUUACUACGGAAUAAAGUUCCCUCUUUCUCCAAAAGUUUACUAAAUUAUAAAUUCAAUCUCCUGCUUAAAGUGCCAUCUUAAAUAAAUCCAUUCAAAUUUCAAACUAGGAUUAUUCAUUUAUUUGUUUGUUUAAUCACAAAUUAUGCAUGAUUCGAGUAAUUAAUAAUAGAGUGCCAACUCUAAUUCUACCUCAACCACGCAAAAACUAAAUAAAAAUUAAAACAUUUUAAUGAAUACCCUUAAAAGUUUGAAUUAACAAUAAAGUUGUUCCAAAAUUUUGUGUUAAUAGGGUUGAGGUGAGGCACAUUGGUGGGGUUGCAUAUCAUUUUUCUUAUGGUAUAGAUGGCAGUUUGAAGGUUUUAAAAUUAUAAAGGCAGUGUAAAAUCUAAAACUGAAUUGCAACGGGCAGUUUCUAAAACUUUCAAAUUUGCAAGGGUGGUUCUGAUAUUAUACACGAAGAGAAAAUUAAAAAAAAAAAAUCACUGCCAAGGGGCAAGGGGAGGCCAAUACUCGUAUUUUCUUCUUCUUUUUUCGCAAACUACUAAUCACAAUUGACGAUCCUCUGCUAUUUAAGGUGAAAAUAUAUCGGUUGUGAGUAUUAUUUUGUUUGAUUUUAUUUUCUUUGAAGUCAAUUUUUCCUAAUAAACAUUCGUUAUAUUUUUAUUAGGUGUACUUUGUGAUUGGUUGGUUCAAAAUACAAAGAACGAGAAGUAAAUGGACGUGUAUAAUAAAAAUACCACUACAUAUUUGAUUGUACAAAUCAAGAAUUAUUAAUCCUAUAUCUAAGGUGAAUGCACUUGAAGAAAAGCCAAGCCAUAUUACGGGAAGGAAGGUUGGUGAAUAGGGUAAUUUUCAGAAACCUCCCUUGAGGUUUGGAUUAUUCUCACUUAGAUAGAAAGUAUACGCUUUUAUCCAACAGACAUUAACAAAAUAAAAAGUGUUCGUCUCUCUACUCCACAAAUCCAAAGCAACCAAGCAAAACCCAUUUCAUUUUCUCUCUAAUGCUUUGAUCAAGUACUUCGGCCAUAAAUGAAAGACCAUGACGAUGAAGCCAACUCUAUUAUCGGCUACGAAUGAUUCACGACCGCAAGUGAGUUUUGCUGGCAACUAGCCAAGGUAUUAAUUCUUUCAAUGCAUGCUAGUUUUAUUAGCUGAAAUUAGUAGUCUCGGUGAAAAAUUAGCAAAUGGAUCUUGAAAUUUUUUUAAGAUUGUUGCUGUUGCUUUUGAUUUUAGGGAUAUAUAAUGACUAUAUACGAUUUGUUUCCCACUCUAUGCAUUAAUUAUUUUCUGCUAUCAGAAUUUUUAUUUGUAUUGUUGUGAUGAUUGUAGAUGUUCACCUUUUAUCAUUAUUUGCAGAGAUAGAUUAUUAAUCAACCCCUUGGCACUAUUAGAAAGGGCAAGACUGCUAAUGACAAUCUAGUGUUUGAAAAGAAAAUUUUGAAUAAUAAAAAGCAAUGUGCAAGGCAUACUAUGCUUGUUGACUUGGGGAAGGAUGAUGUUGGAAAUGUUCAUUCUUAAUCUUAUUUGGUCAGUUUUUCUUUUUUCGUGCUUCAUGAACUUGUCCAUCUUGGUUUUGUGGUGAUACAGACAUUACCCUACUUUCAAAACUACAGACUUCUCAACUGCAACACACUUUGACAUUUAUAUUCAUAUAAAGACGUGGAUAAGCAAAAGGAAUGGAUUGCUACGGUUGGCAGUGACCCUCAUGACAAGCAAGAAGGUGCGGGAACAAAGCUGUUGCUCUUGCGUGUGCCAUUAAUGUUGCAGAGUCUCCAUUUGUUGAUAAAUGAUCAAAAUUAAUGCCUUAUGGAAUCUCUUGAUUUUUGUUGAAAGAGUUUUUAAAUGAUUGAUGAGGAGAUCAAAUGAUAUUUGCAGUGGUGGUUCGAUACUAAAGAAAGAAGAUGAAUGGUUUAUCUUAUAUCUUGAGUUUGAGAAGCAAGUUGAAAUUAUUUUAGAAGUAAGUUGAAAUUAAAUUUUAAAAUUUUUUCUAUUUAAAAAAUUCAAAUUUUUUCUCUUUUAGCAAAGUUAUUUUGGAAAAUGACAAGGGUGAUUUGGUACUUUCAUUGUGUUUAUAUCUAUUUGGCGCCAAGACAAAUAUGAUAUUAUUAACCAAUCGUACAUACUAUACAUUAAUCUUAAUAUAAAAAAUGUGUUGUUUUGAAGUCAAGGGUAUGUUGGUCAUUUUAUCAAUCAACAAACGGUCUAAGAGUAGAAAUACUAACGUCAGGGGAGGUUAUUGAGAAUACGCGAAUACUUUCUAUUUAAGUGAGAACACACCAAACUUCAGGGGAGGUUUCUGAAAAUUACCCUUGGUUUGAAUAAGCAAAACUGACAAAAUUCAUCAACAAUAUUUUUGAAACUUUUUUUUAUGUAUAUAUAUUUUAGUAAUUGAGUGAUCGAUGCAUGAAUGAAACUCACUUUCAGAUUCUAGAAUGGGGCCGGCCACGUGCCACAAAAUUAGUUGGAGUGGAGACUUUGACGUAUACCUGGUGACGUCAUGAAUGAGGUAAAGCUUAAAAAAGCCUUAUUCCGAUAUGGGAAGCCUCACAUAGUUACUAUGAGUUCUCCUGUUAGAUUGAAAAAUGUGACAAAUAAAAGUUCAAGAGGUUAUGACAAAAUUAAUAAACACGCUUGACUCAGAAAUUCUUAUCUGAUACUCACCCUCACCCUCACCCUCACUCUCAUAAGUAGCUGGCUUAGCCGCUGCUGUGUGUUGAGAACACAAGAAGAUAAAAAUGAGUGAAGCCAGCAGGCAAGGAGGAGGCAGCGAAGAACCCAGAAGUAGUGGGGCAGCUAACGGCUCUGGCGGGUCCAGGCAGCCGGUCAAUGCCGUCGGCCGCAGGGAGAGGCCGAUGGCGCCGCCCAAAAGAGGAAAGGUUAUCAAGACGAUUUUGAAUGAUCUGCUCUCUCGCGACCCACCGCCAUCACGAUGAUCGCAUCGAUCACUUGAUCAAGUGUUCAGCAUGUACGUGAUUUGGUAAUCAUGUUGUAUUACAGAUAGAAUAAUGAUGGUUGAUGAUCAAGUACUCUGUUUGGUGAACAUUGUAUUGCUGUUGGCUGCUUUGUGGGUUAUGAUUAGUUAUUAAGGCAGUGCUAAUUUAGUUAAUUGAUUACUUUUGUGCUAGCGAUCGAGUGUAUUUGCAUGUUUCAUGCUCUUAGCUUUCUUGCUCCUUGUUGCGUUAACUUUCCGAUUUAACUACUGUGUUUGAUUAAUUGAUUAUGUUAUCCAAAUUUAGGAUUAAUCUCAGAGCUCACAGCUGCUUCGACUACAUUCAACUUUUGUUACUAGCUAGCUAAACCACCCAUUUGAGAUUAUGUUUUCUUUUUAAAAAAAAAAAAAAUAUUUUCAUCAUCACAUUUGUUUAGUGUUUACUACCUUAGAUUCUGAUUUCUUUUAUGAAGGGUGUAAGAGGGAAUCUCUUUUCGUGUAAAAUCCUUCUGGUUUAAUUCAUCCGACAAACAGAUCUAAGAGGGAAUCUCAUUUUACCAAUUUUUUCACUAAACAAAACAAACAAAAAAAAAACAUUUUUCAUUUUAUAUUAGUUUCUCUCUCAUUUUUCCUCUUUUAUUUUGGUGACCCCUUCCGACCAACCCCUUAUUUCUUUUUCUCUCAAAUCGAGAAGAAUCGUCCCACGCCCUUUAAUUUUUCUCGUCGAGGAAACGAUGGCCCCGAAAGCCGAGAAGAAGCCAGUGGAGAAAAAGCCGGUAGGACGCGUCUCGUCUCGCGAGAUAGAACAAGAAGCCGACGAUCACGUCGAGGGAGAUCCAGACCGCCGUGAGAUUUGUCGUGCCCGGUGAAUUGGUGAAGACGCUGCAUCGGAGGGGACUAACGCUGUUACUAAGUUUACAAGCUCUUGAUUUUGUGCAAUUUUGGGCUUGUUACGGUUCCGUGUUCUUGCUAAAUUGGUCCUAUUGUUACUUUCGAGCCCAGCCUAUCCCAGGGUUUGCUUGUGACAAUGCUUCUUAUGGACAGACUAAUGAAAUUUAUCUUCUUUUAAAAGUAAAUAAAUUAAAUUACCGAAUUUUGAGUGGUUUCAGUUGGUAUAUGGAGACGAUGACGGCAGAUAAUGUUGAGUUAAAGAAUGAGUUUUUGAAAGAGUG